AAUCUCAAGUGGCUGCGAAUAUUUGAUUGUGAUGACAUGGAAGAAAUAAUCAGUGUUGAAAAUUUUGAAAAAUUGAGUGAAGUUUCAGAGAUGAUGGGAGAGCUUAACUUGUUCUCGGAACUCGAAUCUCUGAAUCUAGGAUAUGCAAGUAAUUUGAAGCGCAUCUACCGCGAUCCCUUGCCCUUUCCACAGCUGGAGCAAAUUUACAUAUCGAAAUGCCCAAAGUUGAAGAAGCUCCCGCUCAAUUCCAGCAGCGCAAAGGGACGUAAAAUUGUCAUUUACGGGGAGAAAGAAUGGUGGGAAGAGCUACAAUGGGAGGAUCAAGCCACUCAAAGUGCUUUCUCUCCCUGUUUGGCUGUUUCGUGCCUUCAUGAAUAAUAAAGUGCAAUAAGGCGCAAAAGUGUGAAUAAAGUUUCUGCGUGUGCUUAAUGAUUAUCUUGUCUAUCCAUUUCAUUUAAUUUAAAAGCUUUCUACGGUGUUGCGUGUGUGUCACUUGUCAUUCUUCUGCACUGCUGUUUCCUAUUUCCAGUUAAUAAAAUUUUUUUGUUCUUAGAAAUGCUUUGCUGGUAAUAUAUUCUAUUUACUUUCCUCCUAUUUUCAUUACAGCUAAUAAUUGCAUAGUUGUAUAAUUUUUUAAUAUUAUCUUUAUUUUUAAAUAUACUUUUAUUUAUAUUUAUUAUAAAUUAAAUAAAUGUAUGAAUAGAAAUUAAAAUGAAAACUAAGUAUUAAAACAAGAAAUAUAUAUUUUGAUUUGAAUAAAAAUAUAAAUAUUUGUUUGUACUUUUUUAUAUAUAUAUUCAAUAUAAGAAAAUAUUUAUAAAAUAAAAAGUGUAAGAAAAAUAUCUUAUUAUUAAUUCUUAUUCACAUCAAAACAUAUAUUUCUUACUUUAAAUACUUAAUUUUUUAUUCAAAUUAUCAUUCAUAUGAUUUAUUUAAUUUAUAAUACAUAUAAAUAAAAAUAAUAUUGUAAAUUAUGUUGUUAGAAAUUAUUAGUUAUUAUAAAAAUAAUAUGGGACAAAUGGUAAAUCGGAGAUAUUGUUUCCUAUUUUCAGCUAAAAAAUUUAUUUGUUCUAAUAAUUGCUUUGCUAGUAAUAAGGCCUGCAAGUUGCUUAACUGAAUAUGACUUCUUUUUUAAAAAUGUUACUAUCAAUUUCGAUGAUUGAUUAUCUCGAAGUAGUGAAAUUUAUGUAAUGUUGGUAUUAAAAAAAUUUGUGCUACUGAUAAAAAAAGUCCAUUGGAUUCGGCCUAAAUGACGGAUCGUGGCUUGAUUUUCUCAUCCCAAAGGCUCUGUAUCUCACUUUCGAAAGUAGUUUUAGCAUAAUGUAGGUGAAAAAUUAAAAUAUUCUGCGAUCUCUAUAUAGCUUUUCCAACAGAUUUCACCCAUUUGACUGUAGACCAAAGCAUCCAUUGGAUCGAUGCAUUUAUUAAGAAGAGGAUCAUUCGGAGCUACAAUUGGAGGAUCGAGUCACGCAAAGAGUUUUCUCUACUUGUUUCGAUCCUAUGGAGAUAGAGUUUUCAUAGAUUGAUGGUAGGAGCUUUUUUGUCAAUUUAUGUAUCUAAUUGUGUGUAACAUGCUUUCUUGUCUUUCAUAUCAGACAUUGUAAAUUUGUAAUGUUGCCAUUUUCUUUUUCCUAUCAAGAAAGAAAGAGCAUUGCGAGUAGUCUUUCCAAUUUUCACUCCUUUUUGGUAUGUGAAGAAAAAUAAUAAAGCAAAACAAACUAGUGUUGAAGAAAAAGAAAAUGACAAGUUCAAUAGGGCAAAAGUUCACCAUCCCUUUACCAUUUGCUCAAGCAAGUAAGCUUUACGUUUACUUCUUGAGAUUUGAACUAACCAGACAACUUGUAAUGUUACCAUAAAGUUCAAAGAUUAGAAGAGAAAAACUUAUGUCUGUUAGGCACUAUUAUUCAGGCUUAAAUAAUAACAAUAAAAUACUACACCAUGUCUGCUCUCUUUUACUUUUCUUGGUUCUGUUGUAAAAUUCAGUUCUAUUUGAAGGAAAUUAUUAACAUCAAAACUAAAUACUUCGUGAGCAUCUACUGACAACAUACUCCAGAUGACACCAUAACCAUAUCAUAUAAAGCAAGAAAUGUGAAAUAAAUACAAAAUGAAUCAUAGGAGGGAAUUACCACACUCUGCGGUCUCUCCUGCUAAACCCUGCAGUUAGAAUGCCAUUUGUCGUGAGCACCUGAAUCCCCAAAGGACUCCCAGCUUCAAGUGGCUUUGACUUAGCUUGCUUUAGCUCCAUUGCACAUACUCACUCACAUGAAGGAAAUGAACAGAACAAGAAACCUCAUCAUGCCGAAUAUGAUAGAUAUGACAAGGCAUUACACUGUAGGAAGCUCCCGAUUUCUCUACAAAACUCUGCAGGUUCUCCACAAUCAAGGCGUGCUCCAUCUUUAACAGAUCACUUCUACCAUUAAGAGAAGGAAGAGAGUUCCUCUCGUGUGGCAGUAAAUCCUUACUUAACACAGGAUUGAAGCCAACCAAGAACGGAAGGCAAUUUCGUUAGAUUAAGAACCGAAUCACCAUCCAAUAUAGUAGCAUUUGAACCAGAACUCUUGUUAAAUUCUUGAAAUCUCCUGCUUUCAUCAGUCUGUAAGAGAAAUGAAGAUGAGAAUAAUAGCCAGAACCGGAUUAAAUUCAAUCUGGUCUUUUGAAGACUUCUAUAACAACUAAGAGAACCCAGUGUACCGCCUACAGAUACUGUCAGGCUUCUAUCAAAUAUCCCAAACACCAAAAACCAACCCAAUUAAGCUAACAAACCUGCAUGAAUAUCUAAAUUUCAAUGCACGUGAAACAAACUCCGUGUUCAAUCCACCAAAACUAGCAAAUUUCAAACUUUAUCACUCAUCAUUCUCUCUCUGUCAGCUGUAUGAGGCUAUGAGAUCAUGUUAUAAUGUUCAUAUUGAUGCUGAAUGUUUUGCCAGCUUGUCUGAAUUCCAUAAGAGAAUGCAAUGUGCACAUUAUUGUGCCUUGCCCACCAUUAGAUUCUAAACCACAAAAUCAUUGUGUGAAGUAGCUGACGUUUCGCACAUUCUUAUCCCUUAUCAUCAAUAUUCUUCUCCUCAAGCUUAGAUCAUGGAAAUUUGAGUGACAAACAUGAUAACAUGGUAACACCAUCUAAACUUUAGGGGCAUAAAGUAACAUAGAAGCAACAUGGGAUGUUUUAAAAUCUAUUAUAAUUUGCUUAGGCCCCUGAAUAAAAUUAAAACUUGUAAUGAAAUAAAGUAGCAAAAUAAAGAUUGGAGGUCGCAUGCUUGAUAUUUGAUGCUGUCAAAAUUAAUUUGCAGUGCUGAAAUUGCUGCUCCAAUAAAUUUUUCAAUGGGAUUUCUAUAUUUACAACAAAUUUUCAGUAUUGAAACAGGAUUAAAAUCAUAAAGUAUCUUUUAAACAGCAGAGGCAACAAGAUCCUACAGAAAAAGAAGGCAAAAAGUAGUUACAAGCUACAGAAACGCAAAUAUUCUACUGGCCAACUCCCACUAAAUUCGAAGCAAUUCUAAAAUCUCAGCUUGUACUACGACAUCAUUCCUUCUAUGUGGCCCAACUGUACUUCACCCAGAAAUCACAUUUCUUCAUCAGAGAUAAUUUUACUUCUAAUAAGAGAGAAUUUUUUAUAUGCAUGGCUUUACAGUAAUGAAUAAUUUUCCUUAAAUCUUUUCUAACAGACAAGAAAGCACAAAGCACAAAAAUUGAUAUAAACAACUUUUCUCGAAGCUUUUUCAUAAGAAAACCUGAACAUGAUUGCUUCUCUUAGAAGGCCCCCUAGCUUCCUGCAAGAACCUUGUGCCCCCAAAAAAAACAAAGGAUUAUAAUUAGGCAUAAGGCUCCCAAUGUUCUUGCAGGAAUUAUGAUGAAUAUGAGAGUUUCAAAAAAGAAAAAAAAAUAUUACGACAACCUCUAGGCGGAGGAAAUCAGUUUUCUAGGAAUUCGUUAGAUUGGUGAAGUUAUAGAACCGCAGCAAUUUGCUGUAGUUUGGAAUGUUUUUGCCUUUCAUUAUAGCAUUUGAAAAGGCUCAAGGAUAUAGAAGAACCUUGGCUACAAAUUCAGGGAAGAUUUCACUUAUAAUGAGAAAUAAUCACCAUUAUUAUAUACAAUGAGAAAACAGUUAUGGAAGAAAUAGAAAGAAUUACCCGAAACGGAGGAUUUGGAAGACAAUGAGACAAAAGUAUAAAGAAGAAGAAAUUGGAGAUAUAAUGACUGCCUAUUUCUUUGAUGAACCCAUCAAAAACGGCUUGAAAAUUAAAGAAAUUGUAAAAUGCUGUAACGGAGGAAUUGAAACUGUAAAAGAUGCAAGUUAAUUCAUGGGGCUGGCCAUCUUGAUUGAUUGAACACCUAUUAGAUUUUUAAUAUUAAAGAACUCACUUUAAUGAUGUUUAAUUGGUAGUAGCCCUUUAUAGUCUUUAAACCUUUAGCAGUGCAAAGUCACAAGCUUUGUCCAGAAUCUAAGGGCGUAAGUUAUAGGCGAUGGGUGCCAUCACCUGGGCAACGACGUACAUCGCUUGGGCGACAAGCCAAUUUACUAGGCUCAUCGCAAACAGCCUUCGUCGCCUGGGCGAUGGCCAAAUCCAUCCAAUAAACUUUCAGCUCAUGUUUGAUAGUCUAAAAAAAGUAGUUAUGGUGGCCAUCACACAUCACAUUUUACUGACAAGCUGUCUUAAUUUUCAUAGAAAAUUGUUCCUACUGAUUUUCCAAUACUGGCCUAAUACUUGCAGAUUAUUAAACGAUUAUGGAAUGGCGGCGAUUUUAGACCAGUAAUUUUGUCAAUAAUUGCUAAUUCGCAAUCCCUUUACAAAUCUAAUAAUCUACUGCAUACACGCUCUUGAUGACUUGGAUUCUCAAAAAAUAACCAUUUUACGCCGCUGAAGCGCAGAAAAAUCAAUUGUUUUAUCCACUUCCAAAUAAAACUUAUUCUAGUAAAUGCGAUAAAGAAAUGUUUAUUUCAAUUUCCAACCCAGAUCUCAUAAAGAAUUUCUCACUCAAAUAAACAAAUAAAUAUCAUCUGGUAAUGGUAUGACAUUUAUUUUGAAGUAAACACUGGCCCACUAUUUUCUCAAUUUUCCAUUGUUUGAGGACACCAUUUUCUCAAUUGAAGAACAUGUUCUGGCCAAAAUUCACAAUUUUCUCCACGUGAUUUAAAGCACACAGGAUUCACACUUUUCUCCACGUGAUUUAAAAGCACACAGAAUUCUCCUGACCUUAAUUACGGAUCUUAUUAUGUUUAUUGAAAUCCAAUAUUGUAGACUCAUUGUUGUAGCUAGAAAAUCAUAUUAAUAGAGUAAAAUUUAUAAAUAAUCAAAGAAAAGAGUUCACGCUCUUACUUCAUUACUUUUAUAAUCUUAUUAGUAUAUCUACUUACAUGUCUUCAGAAAAUACAGUUUUAAGAGGAUAUUUUUAUUUUUCUUCGUAAUAAUAGAUUUAAUUUUCAUCUUUCUAAUGUUAAGUUGCAUAUUUGGAGUAAAUAAUAUUAAAUUUCAAAUUAGAUCACAGACCCCAUUUUAAUAGAUUCAAUUGGAUUUUGGACAUCUAAUUAAACAACUGGACUAAUAAAUUGCAAAUGAAUGAGAUUUAUAUGUGAUUUUAAAAUAAAAUUUGAACUCAAAUCUAUGUAUUUAAUUAAUCCAACAGGACAAAUUUAUAAUUUUCACCAACUAAAUAAAAUAUGUUAUCAGAAACUUUUGGACCAAGUCGCGCACUUCGUGGGUCUGCUACUACUUAUAGUCCAUUCUCAUUCAACUUUCACAUCUUUUAUAUUAUGUACAAAUUGGAUUAUAUUCUAAAACAGUGUUUCUAAUUGUUUAACGUUUUAUUUCUGGGUAUAUUUAGAGAUUAAAAAAUAUGGGAAACAUAAUUAAUUUUAUCAAAUAAAAAGGAGUAUUGUUCAUUUUUUCAUAAACAAUGUGUUAAAAUACUUUUGGUAUUUAAGAAGUAAAAAUUUUUAUUUUUGUUUCAUAAAAAAGCAUUCAAAAUUAUAUUAAAUAAAAUUAAAGAUUAACAAAACUGACAUCUGAAUUUCGUGCAAAUUAUAAUAAGUUUAUCUCCAGCGUGAGUAACAUUAAAGCUUGGCUAGCAUCAUCAUAUUUUAUCUCCAGCAUCAAAAUUCUGAUAACAUCAACAUCAUAAUUCCAAGGUUGUCAAAACUAAUUAUCAAAUUAAAAUCCUUUGUGAUUUAAGCUCUCUUGGACUUUUAAAAAUGUUAUGCCACCCCUUCUUUAAUAAUAGUAGUAUAUGAUUAUGAUUUAAUUAUUUUAUUUUUUUAAUUUAUCAAACACCAAUCACUUAAAUUAAACUCAAGAAAAAAAUUAGAACAUCAAAGAAUUUUAAUUGCUUCUUAUUAAGUACUAGAAUUAACUUCUCCCAAUGAUAAUUUAUUAAGCAAACCAUAAUGAUCAUCUUACACUAAAGAACCAACCCAUCUUCAAAACACAAGAAUUUAGUACAAAUAAUUAUCCCAAUAAAGUUUAACGAAAAAGAAAAGAGAUAUUUUUAUUAUUUCUUUUACUUUCUUAGUGGCUCUGCUACUACCUAUAGUCCAUUCUUAUUCAACAUACAGAUCUUUUAUAUUAUAUGCAAAUUAAAAUAUAUUCUAAAAAGUGUAUCCAACUGGUUAACAUAUUAUUUCUAUAUAAUAAUCAAUUUUAUCAAAUAAAAAGGAGUUUUGGUCAUUCAUUUGGCUCCGUUGCCACUGUUGUACGCUACAAAAGCUUUUGUCUUUGCUGACUCAGUUACUGUAAAAUGUCGUUCAGCCCCUUAUACUCUAUUUUAUUUAUAAGAAUUAUAAAAAUUUCUAAUUACCUACACUUUCAAAAUUCAAUUUAUCUCCUUACAAUCUUUUUCAUUUACUUUUUUUUGUAAGUAUUAAAAAGUUUCUAUUUACAACCACGACAUAGUAAUCAUCAUAACACACGAAUAUUUAUAAAAAUAUAAAAAUAUCACUAAAUUAAUACUAAAAAAUGUUUUCCUCUCUUGAGGAAUUAUGGUAUCUCAUUUUCGAUCACUCAUUAUCAACAAAAUUUUCAAAGAUAUGAUCAUUCAUCUUCUUUAUAAUAUCAUCUUAUAAUAAUUAAUACUUUCAUGAUUAAAAAAAUUAACAAAAUAAAGAUAAAUUCCCUUUGAAUCCAUCCCUCUCUACUAUCAUUUUCUCUUCAUUAGCAACAUUUAUCAAUAAUUGAAGCCACCAUCAGACUCAUCACACAGAGAGAGUGAGAGAGGGGAAGAAGAAACGGGAAAAAAAAAUAUAUGAGACAUUUACAAUUUUAUAGUGUGUUUAUUCAACGAGAUUCAUAUAUAGUUGCUAAGGGGUUUCAUUAGACACAGAGAGUUUAUUACACUGAAACUUUUAAUCCAGUAGUUAAGGCCUCAACAAUCAGAGUUAUUCUUAGCCUAGCAGUACUUAACAAGUGGAUAAUCAGACAAGUGGAUAUUAAUAAUGCCUUAAUGGCAUUUCAGUUGAAGAAGUUUACAUGGCACAACCUGAGGGAUUUGUGGAUCCUACUAAACCCCAACACAUCUGCAAAUUAAAAAGGACUAUAUAUGGCUUGAAGCAAGCUCUCAGGGCUUGGUUUGAUAGAUUCAAAGCUGCAAUGAUUACUCAAUGACAUUUUCAACACUCAAAAUCAGAUAAAAAAUAUCAAAAUAUUUAUAUCAUUAAACUUUUAGGCCUAAUUAACUAAUUAAAGUUCUAAAUUUUUAUUUAGGACAUUAAAAAGACCGGAUAGAUUCUAUUAGCCCAAAAAUUUUAUUUUAAUUUUAAUAUUCAUUAAAUAUUUUAAACUUAAAUCUAUUUUUUAUUUAUUUUUAGAUGUUAGAAUUGCCCACAGCGAAUCACAAUUUUAAUAUCUAAUCUAAUUUAAUCUAAUAUUUGCUCUUGAUUUGCUCUUACUUAACUAUUGUGUUGUAAAGGGAAUAGUCCACAUUUAUAAAGUGCCCACGCCACCCUUGAAAAAGUUAAUUUUGAAUCUAAAUUUGAUUUUAUUUGUAACAAUUUUGUAUUAGACUAUUAAUUUAUUUAUGAUAGUUUGUAAAAGAAGUUUGUAUCCCUUGCAUGCUGCGUUACUUACUAAUUUAAUGUAUGUGACUUUUGUAAUGGAUAUUAAUGCAAGAUAUUUUUCGAACUUUACUUUUAUUUAAAUUUUAUUUUAAUAUGAUUAACUCAAAUCGAAAAUAAAAAAAUGUAUUAAUUAUUCGGGGAUCGGGGACCCUCGGGGAUCCCCUAUUAUUAUUCGGGGAGGAGAUAGAGAUUCUCUUAAGUAAUUCUGACAGGGACGGGAAGGGGAUGAGGACAUACACAAAAUAUUGGGAAUGGUUACGGGGAGAUUGGUCCCCUCCCCUCCCCUCCCCAUUGCCAUCCCUAACUCCCUGACUAAAUAAUUUGGGAAUAUAAGGAUGCAAUAAGAGUUGAGUGGUCUUUAUUCCCAUAGCAUUAUUUUUUUCUCGCUUCAUCCGUGCUCUAUUCAAUCUUUAUGUGCCGCUUGUGUUAUGUUCCUGCAUAUCUAAUUACCUUUAGCUGCUUGUGUUAUGUUUACUUGUUUUGAUCUUAAUCUUUAAUCACUUAGCCUGAAUAAGAAAUAAUUUUUUAUAUUUGCUCUGCAAUGAUGUUAUUCGGUGUUAAUAGCUUCGUUUUGUUACUCUUUUCCGCACAGAUUCUUGAUCUCAACAGAACUUUUAUUUUGAAUAUUCUGCAUAAGGACAAUCUCAUUUAAUACCAUCAGUGAUUUUUCAUUUUUUUUCUCUUUAGUUUUAAUAUGUUUGAUAACUGUAUGGCUAAGCAAUCUAUGCAAUUUUAUCUUGUCGUAUGUUUGAGCUCAUUUUUUGUUGCAAUUCUGAAUAUUUGGUAUGAAUUAUGUGAUACCGGACAAUACUGUUAACUUGUUCAUUUCUUAAUUUUAAUAUCUUGUCAAAGUCACUAAUAGCAUUUCAUCAUGCUAUGAGUUAAACAUGGAACAAAUGACGACAUGCAGUUGUGGAAUGUGGUAGAUCUCUGGAAUUCUAUGUCCUUAUGCUUGUAGGGCAACACAAUACAUUAGUUAAAACAUUAAAGACUAUGAUGUCCGCAGAAAAUUAUAUGUCAACAUAUGCACCAGGCAUGAUGAAAUUAGCCAAAGACAGUGCUUGGAAACAAUUAACUAACUUUUGGCAUUAGGCGUAUCAAGUUCAAUUCGGUAUUUCACAAAACUUAAACUAACUUAUUCCUAAUUAUAGUGGACACAAUUAACUAACUUUGGCAACUGUUCUGAAGAGGAUGACUUCUUCAGGAUGACAUCAACUACCAGCGAUGAUACUAUCAGUAAGCUGCUUCUGCUAUCUAUUAAAUAUUACUGCUAAACGUAAUAUUGACAAUUUGUCUGUGUGCAGGCCUGUGAUAACCACUUGGAUCGGAUAAAGGACUGGGACAUCAACAAUUUGCCCAGAAACCAAUAAGAUAUCAUUGUAAUGUUUAAUUAUACAUGUAUUAGUUUCUCUUUGGAUGGUGCUCUUUGUUAUGCAAAAGUAUGGCGACUAUGUUUCAACCAGUGUAUCUAUUAUAUACACUAACUAUGAAUUACUAGAAAUUUUAUUACAUUAAUCAUUUUUAGAUAGCCACUCAUCUCAAACGAAACAAACUGGUCAGAGACACUUGACCCAACAUGCUUGUGAUCGACCUUAGAAUAAAUUUUUCUCACUCAAUAUAGACAACUUCUGUGAGGUUAAUAUUUCUUCAAAUGUCAAGAAAAGCAUUGGCCACAUAAAUGCAUACACAUGUUUUUGUUGGGAAGUUAAGCAGACGGGAACAACAUUGGACUAUAUACUCAUACACCAAACUUUAAUAAACUAAUAAAUAUAAUUUAAUAAUAAUUUAUUUCUCCUCGCUUAUGUGAGAAAAAGUCAAACCACAUAACGUAUUUAUAUUUUGUUAAGAAAUUUUACUGAUUGAACUAAUUAACACUAAUUUCUUAUCUCUCUUAACCAACGGAUAUUUUGAAGAUAGUUUUUUAUUUUCUAUAUUUUAUGUACUAAAUGAUUUUAAACCUCUAUCACGUCAUGAAUAAAUUGGAGUUUAGGUUGCUUAAAAUAAUAAUAAUAAUAAUAAUAAUAAUAAUAAUAAUAAUAAUUAAUAAAUGUAUUGAUGGAUUUCAUAAUCAUCCCACUUAGGGGUGGGCACGGUUCGGUUCGGUUCGAAAUUAAGUAGAACCGAUUUAAAUCGGUUAUUUUAUAAAAAGAACCGAAUAAGAACCAAACUCAAUAAGAACCAAACUCAAUAAGAACCGAACUCAAACGGUUCUUUUCGGAUCGGUUCGGUUCGGUUCGGUUUUUUCGGUUCUGGGUCUAUUGGGCCUAUUUUGAAUUUUUAAAUUUUUAGCCCAUUGGGCCUCAUAAAUGUAAUAAUUUUUUUCAACAAUUAAUUUAUCCUAAUUUUAUUACAAAUAUUAACAAUAAAUACAAAGUAUUCAAAACACAUUUUAUCACUAAUAUCUUACUAAUUAUUAAUAAGAUACUCCCAAAAUAUGAAAUAUUAAAAUUUCAAAAUACAUAACCAAACUCCAAUACUCCAUCUAUAUAAACAUAAUCAUAAUGUUAUAAAGAGAAAUAACACAUGUUUGAUUUGAAUAAAAUCAUGUUUGAUUUGAAUAAAAUUAUUAACACAUGUUUGAUUUGAAUAAAAUAAAAAAAUAAUUCGGUUCUUCGGUUCGGUUUUUUGGUUCAGCUAAGUGAACCGAAUACCGAACCGACAUUUCAGUUUUUUUUACAAACGGUAUAUUCGGUUUUUUUAAAAAAUAAAAACCGAACCGAAUUAAAAAAAACCGUCGGUUCGGUUUUUUUUAACAUUACGGUUUUUUUGCCCACCCCUAAUCUCACUCCUACGCCUCAAGACAAACAAGCUCACACUUCACGGAUCAGUCAAAGGAUCGGCUUUCAAGUCGUUGAAUUCACGGUGGUCAAACUAACGGAAAAACUAACGUGACGUCAAUCAGAUACGGUUUAUAAUAUAUGUAUCCUCAAUCAACGCAAAAAGUUUGAUCUGAAAAACCCUCUGCCUAAAACGCGUUUUCAGAAACGCGGUUUUGUUUUUCAAGUGGUUCCCAGAGCAUCCAUGCCAUGCUCUGUAUCAAUCAUUUCGUGCAUGUUUGGAGUUUGGCACGGCCAUUUUUACUGACUUUGUUAAGAAGUACUUAGAAGCUCAUUAGGAAAUGAUAACAAACGAAGCCUUGCGCUUUUACAUGUUACAUGCAUUAUUGGUAAGACGGUUGAUGAGUUACGUUAUAUGAACCCACAAUUAGUCGCCCAAUAGCCACCAUAUAUUAAAUAAUCAGUCAAAUUUUGAAUUGGGUAGUUAACUAAUUUCGAAUUACCGUAAGUCAUAAAUAAUGCAGGUUAGUAAGACCCGAGCCUAGGCAAAUUAAGGUCGUUAUCGCCUCUAAAUCAAGGCUGCAUAACCCAAAGUUAAGGGCACAUGUUCGAGUCCCAACUCCACAGUGUUGGAACUCUAUUAUAGUAUUAUUCCCUUUCACAUUAAAAGGAUAGGAUGGUUAUUUCUCUUACAUAUGUAGAUAGAUCAAAUAUAUCUUCUAAAUAAUAAUAGAUUUAUCAUUUUAAAGAGUUGUUUUAGAUAUGUGGAUAGAUCAAAUAAUAGACACCCUUUCCAUGAAAGGAGACUCAUUGAUUAUUGUUAAAAAAAAAAUUCGUUGAUGUUAUUAGAGAACUUGCAAUUUUUUUAUAACACUAAAUUUUUUAAUUUUUUAAGAUUUUUCUAUGAAUAGCAUGAAUUUUUUAUAGCAUUGGUAAUGAGGAUAUUAUGGACCUUUAGAUUUAAAUAUUUUAAUCUUCGCCAUUCAUUCAAUUUAGUGGAUAAAUAACUAAUUACUUAAUUUUUCAAGUUGCAUGUAGUAUAUAAGUUUAUGUAUGUAAUUCUAUUUUUAAUAAAUAAAUAAAUAAAUUUUAAAUCACUAACAAAAAAAAAUGCAAAUAUGUAUGUUAGUUUAGACGUGUACAUAAUAGAUAUGAAUUGAUAUUAUUUAAUUAUUGCACAAGACAUGCUAAUAAUGAUCUCUUUUGUCAAUAAUAAUCAGGAGAAUAAAAUGUUAAUUUCUUGAUUUUACUGGAUGGCUAAGAUCGAGUUAAGUCAAUUUUCGUUAUAUUUGUUAAUCUAAUAAUAUGUUGGCGAAAAAGAGGGAAUAUGAUUACAAACUAAGAUUGAGUUAAUUUUUUUAAUUCAGUCUUUAAAAAAUUGUACAACUGGUUUGAUAAUUGGUUAAUGAAAUUUUAAAUAACUAAAAUCAAGAUAUUAUUUUAACUAUAACUUCUAAUUUUGUACCAAACGUUGAUGAUCUUGAUGGGCGCAGAGGAUAGUUGGGUACGGUGCUGUAGUGGGCAACUAUGAGGAUAAAGUGAUGGUGACUGGAAUUGACAUAGGGGUAUACUUGGAUGAUGUUGAUUAUAGUGCGGCUGAGGCUUUAUGCUUUAGCUUAGAGUUGCUUAUCAAGAAUCUAUUAAUAACACAUUAUACUCAUACACCAAAGUUUAAUCUGAAUGAAUCAAGUAAUUCUAUGUUAAUAAAAGUUUUUAGACUUACGAUGAGGGUCUAGUUUAUAUAAAUGCAAAUAACACUGAAAUCUAAUAAUCCUUUACAAAUAAAUAUGAUUUAUUCAAUUAUCGCAAACAAUUGUUUUAUCAGAGUUAAUUACAUUAUUGCUAAACUUGUAUAAGCUUUCCUGUUUCAAGCAUAUCUACUUAAUUACAUUAUUCAUCGACAAUGUUACUUUGCUAGUAGAAGUUUUAUGUUUUCAUACCUUAAUCACUAUUUAACGCUUCGUUUUCCAAUAGUUCUAAUUCUUCAAAUUUUGGUUUUAUUCUUCCAUAAUUAUAAAUUGAUACUGAUUCGCACGACUCAAAUUAAAGUGGUUAAUUACUCUAAAAGUAUAAAUUUGGCAGUCAAUAAUUACUUAAAAAUAAUUGCAAAAAAAUUAAUAAGGAAUAGUAUAAAUUUAAAAACCGCUAAAGUUACGAGAUCCAUGCUUGAUAUUUAAAUCAUGGUCAUAAUACUCUUUCUCUCUCUCUCUCUCUCUCACACACACACACACAUAUAUAUAUAACCACUUUCAAUAUUAUGUUACUUAGUUCUUAAUUAACCGCUCUAUAAAUAAAUAUGAGAAUUAAGUACAUAUUAUGCUACAACCUUAUUGGAGUGUUCCCACUACCAUAUUAGUAGUCAACAUUAGGUCUAAACACCCACAUAAUAUUUUUGGUGAACUUGCAACCACAACCUUUAAAUUAGGGGUGGGCACGGUUCGGUUCGGUUCGAAAUUAAGUAGAACCGAUUUAAAUCGGUUAUUUUAUAAAAAGAACCGAAUAAGAACCAAACUCAAUAAGAACCGAACUCAAACGGUUCUUUUCGGAUCGGUUCGGUUCGGUUCGGUUUUUUCGGUUCUGGGUCUAUUGGGCCUAUUUUGAAUUUUUAAAUUUUUAGCCCAUUGGGCCUCAUAAAUGUAAUAAUUUUUUUCAACAAUUAAUUUAUCCUAAUUUUAUUACAAAUAUUAACAAUAAAUACAAAGUAUUCAAAACACAUUUUAUCACUAAUAUCUUACUAAUUAUUAAUAAGAUACUCCCAAAAUAUGAAAUAUUAAAAUUUCAAAAUACAUAACCAAACUCCAAUACUCCAUCUAUAUAAACAUAAUCAUAAUGUUAUAAAGAGAAAUAACACAUGUUUGAUUUGAAUAAAAUCAUGUUUGAUUUGAAUAAAAUUAUUAACACAUGUUUGAUUUGAAUAAAAUAAAAAAAUAAUUCGGUUCUUCGGUUCGGUUUUUUGGUUCAGCUAAGUGAACCGAAUACCGAACCGACAUUUCAGUUUUUUUUACAAACGGUAUAUUCGGUUUUUUUAAAAAAUAAAAACCGAACCGAAUUAAAAAAAACCGUCGGUUCGGUUUUUUUAACAUUACGGUUUUUUUGCCCACCCCUAAUCUCACUCCUACGCCUCAAGACAAACAAGCUCACACUUCACGGAUCAGUCAAAGGAUCGGCUUUCAAGUCGUUGAAUUCACGGUGGUCAAACUAACGGAAAAACUAACGUGACGUCAAUCAGAUACGGUUUAUAAUAUAUGUAUCCUCAAUCAACGCAAAAAGUUUGAUCUGAAAAACCCUCUGCCUAAAACGCGUUUUCAGAAACGCGGUUUUGUUUUUCAAGUGGUUCCCAGAGCAUCCAUGCCAUGCUCUGUAUCAAUCAUUUCGUGCAUGUUUGGAGUUUGGCACGGCCAUUUUUACUGACUUUGUUAAGAAGUACUUAGAAGCUCAUUAGGAAAUGAUAACAAACGAAGCCUUGCGCUUUUACAUGUUACAUGCAUUAUUGGUAAGACGGUUGAUGAGUUACGUUAUAUGAACCCACAAUUAGUCGCCCAAUAGCCACCAUAUAUUAAAUAAUCAGUCAAAUUUUGAAUUGGGUAGUUAACUAAUUUCGAAUUACCGUAAGUCAUAAAUAAUGCAGGUUAGUAAGACCCGAGCCUAGGCAAAUUAAGGUCGUUAUCGCCUCUAAAUCAAGGCUGCAUAACCCAAAGUUAAGGGCACAUGUUCGAGUCCCAACUCCACAGUGUUGGAACUCUAUUAUAGUAUUAUUCCCUUUCACAUUAAAAGGAUAGGAUGGUUAUUUCUCUUACAUAUGUAGAUAGAUCAAAUAUAUCUUCUAAAUAAUAAUAGAUUUAUCAUUUUAAAGAGUUGUUUUAGAUAUGUGGAUAGAUCAAAUAAUAGACACCCUUUCCAUGAAAGGAGACUCAUUGAUUAUUGUUAAAAAAAAAAUUCGUUGAUGUUAUUAGAGAACUUGCAAUUUUUUUAUAACACUAAAUUUUUUAAUUUUUUAAGAUUUUUCUAUGAAUAGCAUGAAUUUUUUAUAGCAUUGGUAAUGAGGAUAUUAUGGACCUUUAGAUUUAAAUAUUUUAAUCUUCGCCAUUCAUUCAAUUUAGUGGAUAAAUAACUAAUUACUUAAUUUUUCAAGUUGCAUGUAGUAUAUAAGUUUAUGUAUGUAAUUCUAUUUUUAAUAAUGACAAUUGAUUGUGUUAGCAUUUUGGUCAAAAAGGUGGACCCCCCCAAAAACAAACAAAAAAAAUUUAUGAUAAUAAUUAACAUUGAUAAAUAAAAAUAUUAAUAAUGGGUGUGUUAGCAUUUUGGUCCAAAGCCGAUUUGGCCUUGACAUUAAUUGGAAUUUUGGAUCUAUAAUAUGAUUUUCACCGAAAAGAUAAUUUUGCCGCUAAUUAUUUGGGUAGUCAGAUAAUAAUAACAAAAAAAUGUUAUCUCGAUCUCACCUAUAACUUGAGGAGAUAAUAAUGAUAGUCUUUCAUAAUACUCUACUGUUUAGUUUCUCUUCUUCAUUUUUUUCCCCUUUGAAGUCUUUCAACAAAAAUGGGUGGCAUCAUCUCAACCUUCUUCUCAGCGGACACAAUUCGUCCAAUUUUAUUUUACGUCGGUGGACGAGCAAAGUAUAUAUGGGGUCUUAAAGGUAAUCUCGAUGACUUGCAAACUGAAACGGAGAACUUGAUUGCGAAAAAACUAGAUCUACUGAAUAAGGUUAGGCUUGCCGAACAACAACAGCCUCGUGCCCAACGGACGAGCACGGUGAAACUCUGGUUCGAAAGGGUGGAUCGAAGUGUAACUCUUGUUGAGGGGCUGCAACAAGAAAGAGAUCAAGAGAUUGACAGAUUGUGUCUUGGAGGCUUCUGUUCCAAGGACUUGAUUUCAAGCUACGACUUCGGCAAAAAGGUGGAGAAGUUGAAGGAAGAAGUAAUCAAAUUGAGGGAAAAAGGAGAAGCAAUGAAAGAAGUUUAUGAGGGGUUACCAGAAGGUGCAGCGGUUGCAAUAGCUGUUGACCGAACAAUUGUUGGUCAAGAAUCAAUACUUGACCAAGUUUGGAGAUGCAUCACUGAUCAAAAAAAGAAUAAUGGAAUUAUUGGCUUAUAUGGUAUGGGGGGCAUCGGCAAAACUACUCUGUUAAAACAAGUCAAUAACAAAUUCUGCAGUGAGGAGCAUGAUUUUGAUGUCGUUAUCUGGUCGGUUGUAUCUAGAGAGCCAAACUUGAAGCAGAUUCAAGAGGAUAUUGGGAAAAGGAUAGGCUUCUCAACAGAUUCAUGGCAGAGAAAAAGGUUUGAAGAAAGGGCUUCAGACAUCACCAACACUUUAAAGCAUAAGAAGUUUGUAUUGUUAUUGGAUGAUAUAUGGGAGUCCGAAAUUGAUUUAACCAAAUUGGGCGUCCCUCUUCAGACACUAGAUUCUGGGUCCAGAAUAGUCUUCACAACUCGUUUUGAGGGUACUUGUGGUAAAAUGGGAGCCCAUAAGAAUCGGUACAAAGUGUUUUGUUUGGGAGAUGACGAUGCCUGGAAAUUAUUUGAGGGGGUGGUCGGGAGAUACGUUCUUAACAAGCAUCCCGACAUUCCGAAGUUAGCCGAGGAUGUGGCACGUCAGUGUCAUGGUUUGCCGCUAGCACUCAAAACAGUAGGUAAUGCCAUGGCGAGCAAAGUGUACCCUGAAGAAUGGAAAGAAGCAAUUGAGAUCCUAAGCGCAUCAGCUUCUAAAUUCGAAGAUAUGGAGAAAAAGGUGCUUUCGAGCUUAAAGUUCAGCUAUGAUAGUUUGCCGAAAGAUGAACUUCGAUCUUGUCUCCUGUACUGUUGCUUAUUUCCCGAAGACUCUGAAAUUCUAAAAACCGAGUUGAUAGAGUAUUGGAAAAGUGAAGGAUUUGUGCAUUCUAGCAGCGGGUGGGGGGUUCUUGGUGCUCUCGUUCGUGCAUGCUUAUUGGAGGAAGCAGGUGAUCGUGUAAAAAUGCACGAUAUGAUCCGUGACAUGGCAUUAUGGAUAGCAAAUGAAGUAGAGGAGGAGGAGGAGAACUUUUUGGUUCGUGCAGGAGUUGGAUUAACUGACGCCCCAAAGAUUGAAGAAUGGGAAGGGGUCAAAAGGAUAUCCUUGAUGCAGAACAAAAUUCAAAGUCUACCACAAAUUCCCUCUUGUCCGCGUCUGCAAACAUUGCUUCUGGCGAGUAAUCGUAUUAAGGAGAUCACUGAGAGUUUCUUUCAAUCUUUGCCUUCACUUAGAGUUUUGAGUCUAAGAAGAAAUCGUUCCCUGACUGAACUUCCUGUGGGGAUUUCAAGUCUGGUUUCAUUACACCAUCUUGAUAUGUCUUCUACUAAAGUACGUGGAUUGCCGCAAGAGCUCAAGGCAUUGGUGAAUCUGAGAUAUUUGAACUUGGAGUAUACACGUGGAAUGUCUAGAAUUCCACAGCAAUUAAUAUCAAGCUUUUCAAAGUUACAGGUACUCAGGAUGCUGCGUUGCGGUCGACGUUACCAGCCAAUAGUGGAAGAAGGCAACGUUCUAUCUGCUGAUGCUGAAUCAUUGAUGAAGGAAAUCCACUGUUUGGAACAAUUAAAUCUCAUCACCUUGUCCUUACAUGGUUCGCGUGGUGUUGAAAACUUUCUGAAAUUCCCAAAGCUGCAGAAUAUCACUCAAGCUCUGUCCAUCGAAGACUGCAACAGUCUACCGCUCAAUUUGUUACAUCUAGCAAACAUGGAGCAUCUUGAGGAGUUAUAUAUCGAGGAUAGUAAUUUGGAAGACUGGAAUGUCGACUGCGCGGGAGAGGUACAAAAAAUGCGUAAACUUCACUCGGUUCUCAUACGGAAUUGCUCAAAUGUGAAGGACUUGACGUGGCUUGUUUUUGUUCCAAAUCUCAAGUGGCUGCGAAUAGUUGGUUGUGAUGACAUGGAAGAAAUAAUCAGUGUUGAAAAAUUUGAAAAAUUGAGUGAAGUUUCAGAGAUGAUGGGAGAGCUUAACUUGUUCUCAGAACUCGAACUUCUGGUAAUAAGAAAUGCAAGUAAUUUGGAGCGCAUCUACCGCGAUCCCUUGCCCUUUCCACAGCUGAACCGAAUUAGCAUAUUGAAAUGCCCAAAGUUGAAGAAGCUCCCACUCAAUUCCAGCAGCGCAAAGGGACGUAAAAUUGCCCUUGCGGGACAGAAAGAAUGGUGGGAAGAGCUACAAUGGGAGGAUCAAGCCACUCAAAAUGCUUUCUCUCCCUGUUUCCGACCUAUUGAAGAAUAAAGUGCGAUAAGGCACAAAAGUGUGAAUAAAAUUUCUGCGCGUGCUUAAUGAUUAUCUUGUCUAUCUAUUUCAUUUAAUUUAAAAGUUUUCUACGGAGUUGCAUGUGUGUCACUUGUCAUUCUUCUGUACUGCUGUUUCCUAUUUCCAGUUAAUAAAAUUUUUUUGUUCUUAGAGUUAGAAAUGCUUUACUUGUAAGGGAGAUUCACAAUUUUCCCAUAUUAUGAUUAAUAUAUUCUUUUUACUUUCCUACUAUUUUGCAUAAUUUUUUAAUAUUAUUUUUAUUUCUAAAUAUAUUUUUAUUCAUAUUUAUUAUAAAUUAAAUAAAUGUAUGAAUAGAAAUAAAAAUAAAAAUAAAAAUUAAGUAUUAAAACAAGAAAUAUAUAUUAUGAUUUGAAUAAAAAAUAAAUAUUUUUUUGUACUUAGAAUGCCAUUUGUCGUGAGCACCUGAAUCCCCAAAGGACUCCCAGCUUCAAGUGGCUUUGACUUAGCUUGCUUUAGCUCCAUUGCACAUACUCACUCACAUGGAGGAAAUGAACAGAACAAGAAACCUCAUCAUGCCGAAUAUGAUAGAUAUGACAAGGCAUUACAUUGUAGGAAGCUCCCGAUUUCUCUAAAAAACUCUGCAGGUUCUCCGCAAUCAAGGCGUGCUCCAUCUUUAACAGAUCACUUCUACCAUUAAGAGAAGGAAGAGAGUUCCUCUCGUGUGACAGUAAAUCCUUACUUAACACAGGAUUGGAGCCAACCAAGAAGGGAAGGCAAUUUCGUUAGAUUAAGAAUCGAAUCACCAUCCAAUAUAGUAGCAUUUGAACCAGAACUCUUGUUAAAUUCUUGAAAUCUCCUGCUUUCAUCAGUCUGUAAGAGAAAUGAAGAUGAGAAUAAUAGCCAGAACCGGAUUAAAUUCAAUCUGGUCUUUUGAAGACUUCUAUAACAACUAAGAGAACCCAGUGUACCGCCUACAGAUACUGUCAGGCUUCUAUCAAAUAUCCCAAACACCAAAAACCAACCAAAUUAAGCUAACAAACCUGCAUGAAUAUCUAAAUUUCAAUGCAUAUGAAACAAACUCCAUGUUCAAUCCACCAAAACUAGCAAAUUUCAAACUUUAUCACUCAUCAUUCUCUCUCUGUCAGCUGUACGAGGCUAUGAGAUCAUGUUAUAAUGUUCAUAUUGAUGCUGAAUGUUUUGCCAGCUUGUCUGAAUUCCAUAAGAGAAUGCAAUGUGCACAUUAUUGUGCCUUGCCCACCAGUAGAUUCUAAACCACAAAAUCAUUCUGUGAAGUAGCUGACGUUUCGCACAUUCUUAUCCCUUACCAUCAAUAUUCUUCUCCUCAAGCUUAGAUCAUGGAAAUUUGAGUGAUAACACGAUCUAAACUUUAGGGGCAUAAAGUAACAUAGAAGCAACAUGGGAUGUUUUAAAAUCUAUUAUAAUUUGCUUAGGCCCCUGAAUAAAAUUAAAACUUGAAAUGAAAUAAAGUAGCAAAAUAAAGAUUGGAGGUCGCAUGCUUGAUAUUUGAUGCUGUCAAAAUUAAUUUGCAGUGCUGAAAUUGCUGCUCCAAUAAAUUUUUCAAUGGGAUUUCCAUAUUUACAACAAAUUUUCAGUAUUGAAACAGGAUUAAAAUCAUAAAGUGUCUUUUAAACAGCAGAGGCAACAAGAUCCUACAGAAAAAGAAGGCAAAAAGUAGUUACAAGCUACAGAAACGCAAAUAUUCUACUGGCCAACUCCCACUAAAUUCGAAGCGAUUCUAAAAUCUCAGCUUGUACUACUACAUCAUUCCUUCUAUGUAGCCCAACUGUACUUCACCCAGAAAUCACAUUUCUUCAUCAGAGAUAAUUUUACAUCAUUCCUUAUCAUUAGGCAUAAGGCUCCCAAUGUUCUUGGAGGAAUUAUGAUGAAUAUGAGGGUUUCAAAAAAGAAAAAAAAAUAUUAUGACAACCUCUAGGCGGAGGAAAUCAGUUUUCUAGGAAUUCGUUAGAUUGGUGAAGUUAUAGAACCUUAGCAAUUUGCUGUAGUUUGGAAUGUUUUUGCCUUUCAUUAUAGCAUUUGCAAAGGCUCAAGGAUAUAGAAGAACCUUGGCUACAAAUUCAGGGAAGAUUUCACUUAUAAUGAGAAAUAAUCACCAUUAUUCUAUACAAUGAGAAAACAGUUAUGGAAGAAAUAGAAAGAAUUACCCGAAACGAAGGAUUUGGAAGACAAUGAGACAAAAGUAUAAAGAAGAAGAAAUUGGAGAUAUAAUGGCUGCCAAUUUCUUUGAUGAACCCAUCAAAAACGGCUUGAAAAUUAAAGAAAUUGUCAAAUGCUGUAACGGAGGAAUUGAAACUGUAAAAGAUGCAAGUUAAUUCAUGGGGCUGGCCAUCUUGAUUGAUUGAACACCUACACGUGACAAGUGUGCGAUAAUCGUUAUAUCUUCAAUUUUAGGCAGUUUUUCAUUUCUUUUAUUUUAAUAGUAAAAAAAUACGCCAUUUUAGAUACAAAUGCCCCUGACUAGCCCUUUUGUAAGUUACAUUGUUUGGUGCGAUAGUCCCGCACGUGCUUGACAUUUGCCGAAUAUCUUAUGCGCAUUUUUUUUCCCCUCUAACUCAUUGUGUAUGCUCAUCUUUAUGUGCGUUAUUACCUAAACUUAUAUACCAAUCAAAAUAAAUCAUAAAGUAUCAAACGCUUUUAAAUGAUUUUUAAUAUUAAAGAACUCACUUUAAUGAUGUUUAAUUGGUAGUAGCCCUUUAUAGUCUUUAAACCUUUAGCAGUGCAAAGUCACAAGCUUUGUCCAGAAUCUAAUGGCGUAGAUUAUAGGCGAUGGGUGCCAUCACCUGGGCAACGACGUACAUCGCUUGGGCGACAAGCCAAUUUACUAGGCUCAUCGCAAACAGCCUUCGUCGCCUGGGCGAUGGCCAAAUCCAUCCAAUAAACUUUCAGCUCAUGUUUGAUAGCCUAAAAAAAGUAGUUAUGGUGACCAUCACACAUCACAUUUUACUGACAAGGUGUCUUAAUUUUCAUAGAAAAUUGUUCCUACUGAUUUUCCAAUCCUGGCCUAAUACUUGCAGAUUAUUAAACGAUUAUGGAAUGGCAGCAAACCGGCGCCGCGGAGGGGGGCCGGCCCGGGGUUGUUGUGCUGAUUUGGGAGGGGUAAUAAACCCUCUGAGGCAAUUUAGCAAACAUAUUAUGUGCCAUGAUUUUAGACCAGUAAUUUUGUCAAUAAUAGCUAAUUCGCAAUCCCAUUACAAAUCUAAUAAUCUAUUGCAUACACGCUCUUGAUGACUUGGAUUCUCAAAAAAUAAUCAUUUUACGCCGCUGAGGCGCAGAAAAAUCAAUUGUGUUGUCCCUUUAUACUUUUUCAUUUGUUUUGCCCACGUCCAAAUAAAACAGAUUCUGGUAAAUGUGAUAAGGAAAUGUUUGUUUCAAUUUCCAACCCAUAUCUCAUAAAGAAUUUCUCACUCAAAUAAAUAAAUAUUAUCCGGUAAUGGUAUGACAUUUAUUUUGAAGUAAACACCGGCACGCCAUUUUCUCAUUUUUUUCAUUUUUUGAGGACACCAUUUUCUCAAUUGAAGAAUAUAUUUUGGCCAAAAUUCACAAUGUUCUCCACAUGAUUUAAAGCACACAGAAUUCACACUUGUCUCCACAUGAUUUAAAAGCACAAGGAAUUCUCUUGACCUUAAUUACGAAUCUUUUUAUGUUUAUUGAAAUCCAAUAUUGUUGACUCAUUGGUGUAGCCAGAAAAUCAUAUUAAUAUAGUAGAAUUUAUAAAUAACCAAAGAAAAAAGUUCACGCUCUUACUUUAUUACUUUUAUAAUUUUAUUAGUACAUCUACUAACAUGUCUUCAUAAAAUAUAGUUUUAAGAGGAUAUUUUUAUGGUUGUAGAUAUUUUUAUUUUUCUUCUUAAUAAUAGAUUUAAUUUUCAUCUUUCUAAUGUUAAGUUGCACAUUUGGACUAAAUCAGAUUAAAUUUCAAAUUAGAUGACAGGCCUUAUUUUAAUAGAUUCAAUUGGAUUUUGGACAUCUAAUUAAACAACUGGAUUAAUAAAUUGCAAAUGAAUGAGAUUUAUAUGUGAUUUUAAAAUAAAAUUUGAACUUAAAUCUAUGUAUUCAAUUAAUCCAACAAGACAAAUUUAUAAUUUCUACCACCUAAAUAAAAUAUGUUAUCAGAAACUUUUGGACCAAGUAGGGGCAGUUCAUCACUUCGUCGGCCUGCUACUACUUAUACUCCUUUCUCAUUCAACUUUCACAUCUUUUAUAUUAUAUACAAACUAGAUUUGUCAUGCAAGUAUUUGACAGAAGAAAUCUCAUUGGAAAUCGGACAACUUCAAGAAAUUCAUUUAUUGAAUUUGUCACAUAAUUGCUUGUCGGUUUAUAAACCAAAAAGGUAUUCCAAAUUAAAAGUGGUAGAGAGCCUAGACUUUUCUUACAACAGAUUAAGUGGUAGAAUUCCUCCUUAAUAGACUGAGCUCAAUUUUUUGAUCUGUCUUCAAGACGUCAUACAACAACUUGUCCAACCUGAUACCAAACAAAGAGCAGUUUGCCACAUUCAAUGAAGGCAGUUAUGGAGGAAAUCUGCAUCUUUGUGGUCCAACAGUUAAUAAGAGUUGCAACAAUGCGGAGGAAAUACCAGCAAUAGAAUCCAAUCGAGGAGAAGAUGAAGAUGAAUGUGCAAUUGAUAUGGUGUCAUUCAGUUGGAGUUUCGGUUCAUCAUAUGUCACAUUCAUCAUGGGGUUUUUCGCGAUACUUUGGAUAAACUCAUACUGGCGCAGAAUGUGGAUCUAUUACAAUCAUGUAUUCACUAGGCCAUACGCGUGAUGUGCUUUUCUGCUAAAACUAGUUCACAAAUGUGAUUUCAUUAAAAUUAGUCUAUACACAUCUUUCCCUUGGCUUUUGUUGGCUCCAACUCCGGACUUUUAUUCAUAUCAUUACUUUAUGUAGUUUCCCCAAAAGGCUUGUGAUGAUUAAUGCAGUUUAUAAAUUAUUACUACUACAAUAAUGAUAUAAUAAAUAAUUUUUUUUAAGUUGUAAAAGUGAGAAAUACUAAAGAGAUCUUUAUUACAUCAUUAAUGUUCGAUCAAGAAUUUCCUCAUCCGAGCUUGCAGUCUGUGGAGGAGACUGUAUCAAUGUCGAAAUUCUCCGGACCGGCACUAUUUGCUGUUUCUCCAUUGAAUAGUGCGUCUUACUACAACAAGGUGAAACACAGCCCAGUGUUCUGAUUGGGCCCAAUGCGAAAAACAUAAAACCCAAAUUUUUGUUGACUUUGGGCCUGCUCAAAUACCAUGCCCAAUUGUGUCUAGUUGUAACAAAAGCGGCGAGAUGUUCAUGCCCAAACCCGCAAGAUUGUUUUAAUAUUUAAAAUUUAACAUGAUUCUAGAAUUUUUGUUAAUAAAAAAUAAACCACCAAGAUUCUAGUGAAUAACAAAUGUAUACAUAUACACGUGCUGUGUAGACCGGGCCAAUUCUUGUGGAAUUCUCCAACAACCAUCCUGAUUCUUGAAUUGCCGCGAAAAUUCCGCAAGCGAUGAACCCUCUCUUACGCACCACUCAUUCUCUAUCACAAUGAUCAAAAUAAAGACGAGGACGGAGACUAUUAAUCACUGAGAGUGAUUUUCUCAAUAUUUGUCAAUCACUACUAAGAUUCAUUGUCAAUCAAUAAUAUCAAUUGACACAAAGAUUGAUUGUCUUUUUUUUUUUUUCGAGAAUAUCAGUGCUUGAAUACAUUAUUUGAUAUAUAUAAUUCAAUGUAAACUCAAUCAUACUCUUAAAUUAUUUUUAUAAAUUCUCAAUAUCAGUCUUUGAUUUUAAUUCGAGUUUUGAUUCAAAUUAAUGCAAGGAUACAAAAGGACUCAAGAGCUUCAUAUAUCAAUUCUAUGUUAUUAACUUAUUAUUUCGGUGUACACCACAAAUUUAUGAGUAAUUUAUUAAAAUGUCUAAACAUAUAUGAAAAAUAGUUGAUUAUUGAUUUUCACAAAUUUCAAUAUAUCAAACAUCCUAUCGAGUUAUUAAUUCCAAAGCACAUUAUUUAAGAAUCAAUGCUAGAAUAAAUUAUUUGAUAAUUUCAAACCCAAAUUUACGCUUAAAUUCUUUAAAUUAUCUCAAUCAACUUUUUUUUUUCUUAGCUGACCAUCUAUAUCAGCUAUUGGAAAAAAAAAUAGAAUUGACGACUACUUGUAUGUUGGCCUAAUUUGAAAGUCAAUCAACAUUUAUUUUCCAUGUAAUGUUAAUGAAGCAUUUCCCUCAUUGGUCCAACAUUGCAACAUGUGGAAUUUCAGGCUUACAAUUCCUCAUUAGUCAUUACAGAUACCGAAAUUGAUUGUCAGACAAUAUUGUCAUUUCAAUAUAUGCCACAAUUUUAUGAGUAAUUUACUAAAAUCUUUAAAUAUAUAAAAUUUGCAUGUGUGUAAUAAACCUGUAUUUAUAUAUAAAAUUUGCAUAUUUAAAUUGCACCUCUCCAUGCAUCAUAUAAAAUGUCAUUUCAAUGUGAUCCACACUUUUAUGAGUUAAUAACUAAAUAUUGUCACUAAAUUUUUCCUAAUUGUUGCAUGCAUUAGAUUUUUUUACGAAAAAAAAAACAUGCUACAUUAAGUGUAAAACAAUUGAGGAAAAGAUUAGAGAACACAAUGAGAAAAGAAAUUUUUUAUACAACCUUUUCAUCAAUAAAAAUCAUAUUCAUACUAAUCAAUUCUUCAUUCCUCUUGGUAUUAACAGACUCUCACAUCCUACAAAAUCUAACCCUUAUCAUCCAACUAUCUUUAUCAUUAUUUAACUCAUGAAGAAAAGAGUACUCCAUGAAGCACACAAUACUAAAAAUUCAAAUAAGUCAAAAAUAAAAAUGCAAGAAUAUUUCUAAGGAGGAUGUUGGUUAAAUAAUAAAAAACCCAAACAUAACAAAUCUUAAAUACUUAAUGUUUAUAGACUUUGAAGAAGUCAAAAGACAUUAAACAAAAUGUUGCAUAAUUAAAUAUGGAAUUAUGACAUUAAAAUUAGGCCCUAAUGGCAUUGGUGAGUGAAGAUGAAGGAACCUUCCUUCCUAUAUUAAUUAGUUGAUGUAUUUUAAGUCACUAAAGUUUAGUUGUUGGCUUAAUAAAAUAAAUGAAUGUUUCAAGACUUAUAAUUAAUUAUUAUUAAUGGUUGCAUAUUAUUGAAUUUAAAUAGAAAGAGGAAGAGACAUGUAAUUUUUUGUAAUCUAAUAAUUAUUUUCUAUUUUGUAAUGUAAUUAUUUUUUAAUCUCAACCAAUAUAUUAGAUAAUAGAGAAUAUAAAAAGAUAAGAAAUAAUGAUGUCACAAAUCUUAAAUACUUAAUGUUUACAGAGUUUGAAGAAGCGAAAAUGCACUAAACAUAAGGUUGCAUAAUUAAAUAUAGGAUUAUGGUAUUAAAAUUAGGCUCUAAUGGCAUUGUUGAGGGAAGAUGAAAGAAACUUUCUUCCUAUAUUAAUUAAUUGAUGUAUUUUAAGCCACUAAAGUUUAAUUGUUGGCAUAAUAAAAUAAAUGAAUGUUUUAAGACUUAUAAUUAAUUAUUAUUAAUGGUUACAUAUUAUUGAAUUUAAAUAGAAAGAGGAAGAGACAUGUAAUCUUUUGUAAUCUAAUAUUUAUUUUCUAUUUUUAAUAUUUUGUAAUGUAAUUAUUUUUUAAUCUCAACCAAUAUAUUAGAUAAUAGAGAAUAUAAGAAUAUGAGAAAUAAUGAUGUCACAUCACCUCUUGUAGUCCCAACUCUCUCUCUCUCUCUCUCUCUCUCUCUCUCUCUCUCUCUCUAUAUAUAUAUAUAUAUAUAUAUAUAUAUAUAUAUACAUACAUAUUAUUUUCUAAAAAGUAUUUCUAAUUGUUUAACGUUUUAUUUAUGAGUAUUUUUAAGAGUUUAAAAAAUAUGGGAAACAGAAUCAAUUUUAUCAAAUAAAAAGAAUAUUGGUCAUUUUCUUCAUAAAGAAAGUGUUAAAAUACUUUUGGUAUUUAAGAAGUAACAAUUUUUUUUUUUGUUUCAUAAAAAAAGCAUUCAAAAUUAUAUUAAAUAAAAUUAAAGAUUAACAAAACUGACGUCUGAAUUUCGUGUAAAUUAUAAUAAGUUUAUCUCCAGCAUGAAUGACAUUAUAGCGUGGCUAGCAUCAUCAAAAUUCUGGUAACAUUCCAAGGUUGUCAAACUAAUCAUCUCAAAAUGUCAUUAUACUUGUAGCGUGCGGGCAUCAUCUUUACUUUCAGCAUCAAAAUUCUUUUAUUUAAUACACUUUUAUUUUAUACAAUUUUUAUCAUAUUAAAAUCCUUUGUAAUUUAAGCUCUCUCGGACUUUUAAAAAUGUUAUGCCACCCCUUCUUUAGCAGUAAUAGUAUAUGAUUAUGAUUUAAUUAUUUUAUUUUUUAAUUUAUCAAACACCAAUCACUUAAAUUUAACCUAAGAAAAAAUUAGAACAUCAGAUAAUUUUAAUUGAUUCUUAUUAAGUACUAGAAUUAACUGCUCCCAAUGAUAAUUUAUUAAGCAAACCAUAGUGAUCAUCUUACACUAAAGAACCAACCCAUCUUCAAAACACAAGAAUUUAGUACAAAUAAUUAUCCCAAUAAAGUUUAACGAAAAAGGAAAGAGAUAUUUUUAUUAUUUCUUUUCCUUUCUUUCAUUUCAAUUUCUUGCCUCCUGAGCUCUUCUAAAAGCCAACCAAACCACUUAUUUAAAAAAAAAAAAAAGGAACCAGACAAAGCGCAAGAAAAAAAAUUAAAAAAUUCGCAGUCUACACACAUCCCAGCACCGUAUGCGUCCAAUAAUUCAUCUCCAAUAAUUGCCCCUAUAUGACCACCGGUUUGUACUUGCAUAUAUGUGAAACAGGAUAAAAUCACAAUGUGUCAUUUAAUUAGCAGAGGUAACAAGAUCCUACAGAAAAGGGUUUACAGGAAAAGAAAGGAAAAAAAAUUGUUACAACAUACAGAAACCCAAAUAUUCUACUGGCUAACCCCCAUUAAAAUUCGAAACCAUUCUUAAAUCUCAGCUUAUACUACUUCAUCAUUCCUUCUGUGUACCCCCAACUGAAUUUCUGGCAGAAAUCACAUUUCUUCGUUAGCCUCAACUCAUGCAUCUUUUACUUUUAAUCAAACAUACUUUUUUAUCUGCUGGGCUUUUUAACAAAGAAUAAUUUUCCUUAGAUCUUUUCUAAUAGACAAGAAAGCACAAAGCACAAAUAUCUAGGAAUGUUUUUGCCCUUCAUCAUAGCACUUGCAAAGGCUCCAGGGUAUAGAAGAACCUUGGCUACAAAUUCCUGGGAAGACUUCACUUAUAAUCAACUGGAAGGAUGUCACCUCUACGGGCGUUGUACAUUUUCCACUUCUACGUGGUAUCCUGCAGAAACAAACAAUAAAACACGUGUUAUACAAGUAUUUUUUAAGUAUGAAAUACAUCAAAAGCAUUUAUGAUGCCAUUAAGUUUAGUCAAUACAAUCUCUCAAGGCAGGACAAGAGAUUUGAGAUUCAAACUCCACCUACGUAGGAAAGGAAUGUCAAAAAGAAAUGCGGUUGGGAUAGGUUAUUACGUUUUAUUCUUUUUAUUACUAGAAUUGAAUAAUGCUGCCUUUGACAGUAAAAUAAACGUCAAGUGAUAAUUGAAUUAUAAAAAAGUGAGGUAAAUGGUGAGAAAUAAUCACCAUUAUAAUUUAUAAUAUAAAAUGAGGAAAUAAUUAUGGAAGAAAUGGAAAGAAUUACCUGAAAAGAGGGAUUUGGAAGACAAUGAGACAAAAAUAUAAGGAAGAAGAAAUCGAAGAUAUAAUGCCUGCCCAUUUCUUUGACGAACCUGUAAAAUGUCGUGAUUGAGGGAAUUAAACCGUAUGACGUUUAUGAAAUACUAACUAGGCAACCCAAGAGGGGGGUGAAUUGGGAUUUUAAAAAUUAUCCUAGGCAAACCACACAACAAUUUAAUCUAAUGCCUUAAUAAAUUCGAAAACAAUAAAUUCAAUAAAAGCACAAUAAUAAAUGAGUAAGGGAAGAGAAAGCAAACCCAAGGAUUUUUACGUGGUUCGGCAAUCCCCGCCUACGUCCACGCCUCCAAGCACACCGGGCUUGAGGAUUUUACUAAGCUAGCCUCCCAAGGCUUCAAACGCUUACAAUUGACUUCCAAGGUGUCAAUGGACCUUUACAACAAGAGAUUAUCCCCAAUCUCUUAACCCAAGUGUAUCCCAACACUUACAAUCUUUUAACUUGAUUUUACAAAAAAGAUUACAAAUGAAUCUCUCUCACACAAUGUGUUUGAUCACAAGUGAAAGCUCAAUGUGUGAAUGAAUGAGAUGAAUACAAAGAUUUAAAGCUCAAUGAAAGUUGUAUUCUCAAUAUUUUGCUCAAUGAUGAUCGUUGGAAUUCUUCUUGUUUGAAUUGGAUUGAGAUUAUUUAUAGUUGGAGCUGAAAAACUAGCCGUUAUAGACUGUCUGCUAGAAAACGGUUCGCCGUUAACCAUUAACGGUUAACCGUUUAGGCCGGUCAAAGUUACCGUUGGGCCAAUUUUCAAAUAAACGGUUAGCCGUUUAUUCUUACCCUUUCGCCGUUAAUUUCCAGAGACCUGCAAAACAAAUUUGGUUUAACCGUUCUUAUUAAACGGUUCAAGGUUAACAAUCUGGAAAUAAUCGGUUAACCGUUUUCAGUAAACGGUUCACCGUUAGUUUCCAGAAUCAUCAUUUUAAUAAUACUUUACAGAACAUGCUUUCUGGAAAUUAUCGGUUAGCCGUUUUAAAUAAACGGUUAGCCGUUUGCUACAGUGAUUGCUACAGUGAAAAUAUUUUCUAAAUUUAUAAUUUAACCCCAAAACUUUAUAAAACUUUAUUACGGCCCAAAACGUUAUGAAACUUUGCACAUAGGUCCAAUUUCAGAAUUUCUAAAUAAUACUUUGUUAAUCCCAAAACUUUUUGAAAUUAUGGUAUAGCCCAAAAUGUUAUGAUACUUUUCAAAUAAGUCCUUUACCAAGAUUUCAAGCAAUACUUGUUUAUUUCAAAGUUUUCAAAAUUCUUUCAAUUAAACCAUAAACUUUGAAAAACAACCAAUUUCAUAAAAUCAUUUUUCCAUUAAAUAUGAAACAUUUAUAAUGUGAAAAUAAUGAUUUAUUUAAAAAGAAUAAAAACAAUCAAUUUCAUAAAAUUAUUUUUCCAUUAAAUAUAAAACAUUUAUAAUGUGAAAAUAAUGAUUUAUUUAAAAAGAAUAUUAAAUAAUUUGAGCUUAAAAGAUUAAUCAUUCUUAAUCUUAUUUGUUAUCAUCAAAAUCAAUAUUAUGAAAAUAUAUAUGUUAACAGUUUACUUUGGCGGCCCCCAGUCUUGUCAAUCAGAGAAUAUGUUUUGGCCGAAAUUCACAAUUCUUACCACGUGAUUUAAUUAAAGCACACAGAAUUCGUAAUUUUCUCCAGACAAUUUAAAUUAAACCCGCACUCUUUAUGGACUCCACUUUUAAGAAGGAUAUUGCCCACCGAGCAAACUAACCAAAACUCUUUUCCCUUCUGCGUUCAUUCUCCAACUCGUUGUCACUUUGUUUUGCUCUUCCUCUCUAUAUGAUUUUUAAGAACUAUUAAAUGUUUGUUUGUUUCUUAAAAAAAAUGUUUGUUUUUUUUUGUAUUAGAUGAUUAUAAAUAUUUAUUUAAUUUUAUAUUUUUUUAAAUUUUUUAUUAUUGUUUCAUUAUUUUUUAGUAAAUUUUUAAAAAUUAAAUAAAUUAUUUUUAUUUCUGUUAAUAAAAAUUUAAACUUUAAAUUUUUGAGGGAUGAGAUUUAUUUUUUUUAAAUAUUAAAAUACUUAAAAUAUCUUUUAUUUAUGUAAUAAUUUUAUUUUAUUUUUUUGUUAAAUAAUUUUAAAAAAAAUUAUUUAUUAAAAUAAUUUUAUAAUUUUUAAUAAAAACUCUUAUUAUCAAUUAAAUAACUAAAAUUAUUUUCAUAAAAACUUUUAUAAUAAAAAUCCUACCACACCGCAGAGUCUGCACUUACCUGCGCGUACUGUUUAAAACCCCUCACCGGCUCUGCUCUCGCCACCAAUAUUAAGAAAGAUACUUUGUUGUGGUGGCAUUUUGGUAAAAAAUAUGGGCCCCCAAAAUAAUCAUAAUAAUUAAGGAUUUAGCUAUGUGGCAACGGGUACACCAUACACUUUUUUUUUUUUUUUUUUUGUGCUGCCACAGUUAGAUCCAACACAAAAGUAGUAUUAAGAGCAAGAUGUGUUUGUUUGUUUAUUAACAAUGCAAUCCCUAAUAUUUGUCAAAAAUUUUAAAAAGUUAAAGUUUAUAAAAUUUUGUGCCAAUAUUUUUUUCCCAAAUUCUCUUAGCACAAUUAAUUGUGUUAUGGUAUCCACUUUUGCAGGUUAUAAUCAAGAGAUCAGACAUGAUAGAUACAUAAAAAAUAAUAUAAAAUAAAAAAAUUUUGAAUUUUUGUUAAAGCUCUCAUUUCUAAUAAUUUGUUAAAAUAUUCUUUUACCUAAGAAAACAAACUCAUUGACAUAAUAAAAAGAGUUUUACUGAUAAAAUAAUAAUUAUUCAAUUAUUAGAAGUGCUACAGUUAGAUUUUUUUAAGUUGAAAAUGUAGAGAAGCAUGGAGGAGAAGAGGAGAAGAAGACACAUAAUAAAACAUAAAAAUUUUCAAUUUAUUUAUACCUGAAUUCCAUUGUAUGAUGAAUAGAUUGUAGGUACAAAAAUAUAUUUAUGUGAUUUUCUUUUAUAUAAAAAGUUCAAUUCAUUAUUGCUUAUAUGAUAUAGAGCAAAUUAAUCUUAAGGUAAUGAGAAAGUAGCUUCAAUGAGAAUGCCAAGCUUCUCUUAUUGAUUGUAAUUGAUUGAUUACAUAUUUAAUUAAAAAAAUUCAAAAGGACGUAGAGGUGAGGGUUUUGAAGAAAGAGAAAAAAGAAAUUACUUCAAUAAUUUGUAAAUACAGAAGAGAUUAGGGGGUCAAAAAAUACAAAAAGUAGGGUAUGGUGGACCCAUUGUACCGUAGCUCAACUCAAGCCAAUAAAUUAAUUGUUUUAUCCUAUAAAUAAAAAUUAAUGUUGUGUAUUUGCCUAUAACUUGAGGAGGUAAUAAAAGUCUUUCGUUAUACUCUACUGUUAGUUUCUCGCCUUUUAUUCCUCUGAAAUCUUUCAACAAAAAUGGGUGGCGUCAUCUCAACCUUCUUAUCAGCGGACACAAUUCGUCCAAUUUUAUCUUACGUUGGUGGAGAAGCUAAGUAUAUAUGGGGUCUAAAAGAUAAUCUUGAUGACUUGCAGACUCAGAAGGAGAAGUUGAUUGAGAAAAAAGAAGAUAUGCUGAAUGAGGUUGAGCUUGCUGAACAACGACCCCGAACCAGACGGACGAGAUCGGUGCAACGCUGGUUUGAAAGAGUGGAUCGAAGGGUAACUGAAGUUGAGAGGCUGCAACAAGAAAGAGAUCAAGAGAUUGACAGAUUGUGCCUUGGAGGCUUCUGUUCCAAGAACUUGAUCUCAAGCUACAGCUUCGGGAAAAGAGUGGAGAAGAUGAAGAACGAAGUGAUCGAAUUGAAGAAAGGAGGAGAAGCAAUCAAUCCACUUUAUGAGGAGGUACCAGAAGGUGCAGCGGUUGCAAUAGCUGUUGACCGAACAAUUGUCGGUCAAGAAUCAAUACUAGACCGAGUUUGGAGAUGCAUCACCGAUCAAGAACAGAAUAAGGGAAUUAUUGGCUUAUAUGGUAUGGGGGGCGUCGGCAAAACUACUCUGUUAAAGCAAGUCAAUAACAAAUUCUGCAGUGAUGAACAGCAUCAUUUUGGUGUCGUUAUCUGGUCGGUUGUGUCGAGAGAGCCAAACUUGAAGCAGAUUCAAGUGGAUAUUGGAAAAAGGAUAGGCUUCUCAACAGAUUCAUGGCAGAGAAAAAGUUUUGAAGAAAGGGCUUCAGACAUCACCAACGCUUUAAAGCAUAAGAAGUUUGUAUUGUUAUUGGAUGAUAUAUGGGAGUCCAAAAUUGAUUUAACCGAAUUGGGCGUCCCUCUUCAAAGAUUAGAUUCUGGGUCCAGAAUAGUUUUCACAACUCGUUUUCGUGGUACUUGUGGUGAAAUGGGAGCUGACGAGCGGUUCGAAGUGUCCUGUUUGGGAGAUGACGAUGCCUGGAAAUUUUUUGAGGGGGUGGUUGGGAGAUACGUUCUCGACAAGCAUCCCGACAUUCCGGAGCUAGCCAAAGCUAUGGCAAGGCAGUGUCAUGGUUUGCCGCUAGCACUCAAAACAGUAGGUAAUGCCAUGGCGAGCAAAGAGUACCCUCAAGAAUGGAGUCACGCCAUUGAGAUCAUAAGCAGAUCAGCUUCUAAAUUCAAAGAUAUGGAAAAACAGGUGCUUUCGCGUUUGAAGUUCAGCUAUGAUAGUUUGCCCACUGACGAACUUCGUUCUUGUCUCUUGUACUGUUGUUUAUUUCCGGAAGACUCUGAAAUUCCAAAAACCGACUUGAUGGAGUAUUGGAAAAGUGAAGGAUUUGUGGAUUCUAGCAGCGGGUGGGGGGUUCUUGGUGCUCUCCUUCGUGCAUGCUUAUUGGAGGAAGCAGGCUUAGUGGACGAAGGAGGUAAUCGUGUAAAAAUGCACGAUAUGAUUCGUGACAUGGCAUUAUGGAUAGCAAAUGAAAUAGAGGAGGAGGAGGAGAACUUCUUGAUUCGUGCAGGAGUUGGAUUAACUGACGCCCCAAAGAUUGAAGAAUGGGAAGGGGUCAAAAGGAUAUCCUUGAUGGAGAACAAAAUUCAAAGUCUACCACAAAUUCCCACUUGUCCGCGUCUCCAGACUUUGCUUCUAAAUCGAAAUCAUAUUGCGAAGAUCACUGACAGUUUCUUUCAAUCUUUGCCUUCGCUUAGAGUUUUGAAUCUAAGUGGAAAUCAUUACCUAACUGAACUACCUGUAGGAAUUUCAAGUUUGGUUUCAUUACACCAUCUUGAUCUGUCUUAUACUCCCCUAACUGAACUUCCUGUAGGGAUUUCAAGUUUGGUUUCAUUACACCAUCUUGAUCUGUCUUCUACUGAAGUACGUGGGUUGCCGCAAGAGCUCAAGGCAUUGGUGAAUCUGAGAUAUUUGAACUUGGAGUAUACACGUAAAAUGUCUAGAAUUCCAGAGCAAUUGAUAUCAAGCUUUCCAAAGUUACAGGUGCUCAGGAUGCUGAGUUGCGGUUCUGAGAUAUUUCCAAUAGUGGAAGAAGGCAACGUUCUAUCCGAUGGUGCUGAACCAUUGAUUAAGGAAAUCCACUGUUUGGAACAAUUAAAUCUCAUCACCUUGUCCUUACGUGGUACGCGUGGUGUUGAAAACUUUUUGAAAUUCCCAAAGCUGCAGAAUAUCACUCAAGCUCUGUCCAUCGAACACUGCAACAGUCUACCGCUCAAUUUGUUGCAUCUAUCAAACAUGGAGCAUCUUGAGAAGCUACACAUCGAGGAAAGUAAUUUGGAAGACUGGAAUGUCGACUGCGCAGGCGAGGUACAAAAAAUGCGUAAACUUCACUUUGUUACAAUAUACGAAUGCUCAAAUGUGAAGGACUUUACGUGGCUUGUUUUUGUUCCAAAUCUCAAGUGGCUACGAAUAUGUUAUUGUGAUGACAUGGAAGAAAUAAUCAGUGUUGAAAAAUUGAGUGAAGUUUCGGAGAUGAUGGGAGAGCUUAACUUGUUCUCAGAACUCGAACUUCUGGUAAUAAGAAAUGCAAGUAAUUUGGAGCGCAUCUACCGCGUUCCCUUGCCCUUUCCACAGCUGAAGGUAAUUGACAUAUCGGAAUGCCCAAAGUUGAAGAAGCUCCCGCUCAAUUCCAGCAGCGCAAAGGGACGUAAAAUUGUCAUUUACGGGGAGAAAGAAUGGUGGGAAGAGCUACAAUGGGAGGAUCAAGCCACUCAAAAUGCUUUCUCUCCCUGUUUCCUACCUGAUGAAUAAUAAAGUGCAAUAAGGCGCAAAAGUGUGAAUAAAAUUUCUGCGUGUGCUUAAUGUUAGGCACUAUUAUUCAGGCUUAAAUAAUAACAAUAAAAUACUACACCGUGUCUGCUUUCUUUUACUUUUCUUGGUUCUGUUGUAAAAUUCAGUUCUAUUUGAAGGAAAUUAUUAACAUCAAAACUAAAUACUUCGUGAGCAUCUACUGACAACAUACUCCAGAUGACACCAUAACCAUAUCAUAUAAAGCAAGAAAUGUGAAAUAAAUACAAAAUGAAUCACAGGAGGAAAUCACCACACUCUGCGGUCUCUCCUGCUAAACCCUGCAGUUAGAAUGCCAUUUGUCGUGAGCACCUGAAUCCCCAAAGGACUCCCAGCUUCAAGUGGCUUUGACUUAGCUUGCUUUAGCUCCAUUGCACAUACUCACUCACAUGGAGGAAAUGAACAGAACAAGAAACCUCAUCAAGCCGAAUAUGAUAGAUAUGACAAGGCAUUACACUGUAGGAAGCUCCCGAUUUCUCUAAAAAACUUUGCAGGUUCUCCGCAAUCAAGGCGUGCUCCAUCUUUAACAGAUCACUUCUACCAUUAAGAGAAGGGAGAGAGUUCCUCUCGUGUGACAGUAAAUCCUUACUUAACACAGGAUUGGAGCCAACCAAGAAGGGAAGGCAAUUUCGUUAGAUUAAGAACCGAAUCACCAUCCAAAAUAGUAGCAUUUGAACCAGAACUCUUGUUAAAUUCUUGAAAUCUCCUGCUUUCAUCAGUCUGUAAGAGAAAUGAAGAUGAGAAUAAUAGCCAGAACCGGAUUAAAUUCAAUCUGGUCUUUUGAAGACUUCUAUAACAACUAAGAGAACCCAGUGUACCGCCUACAGAUACUGUCAGGCUUCUAUCAAAUAUCCCAAACACCAAAAACAAACCAAAUUAAGCUAACAAACCUGCAUGAAUAUCUAAAUUUCAAUGCACAUGAAACAAACUCCGUCUUCAAUCCACCAAAACUAGCAAAUUUCAAACUUUAUCCCUCAUCACUCUCUCUCUGUCAGCUGUAUGAGGCUACGAGAUCAUGUUAUAAUGUUCAUAUUGAUGCUGAAUGUUUUGCCAGCUUGUCUGAAUUCCAUAAGAGAAUGCAAUUUGCACAUUAUUGUGCCUUGCCCACCAUUAGAUUCUAAACCACAAAAUCAUUGUGUGAGUAGCUGACGUUUCGCACAUUCUUAUCCCUUAUCAUCAAUAUUCUUCUCCUCAAGCUUAGAUCAUGGAAAUUUGAGUGACAAACAUGAUAACAUGGUAACACCAUCUAAACUUUAGGGGCAUAAAGUAACAUAGAAGCAACAUGGGAUGUUUUAAAAUCUAUUAUAAUUUGCUUAGGCCCCUGAAUAAAAUUAAAACUUGAAAUGAAAUAAAGUAGCAAAAUAAAGAUUGGAGGUCGCAUGCUUGAUAUUUGAUGCUGUCAAAAUUAAUUUGCAGUGCUGAAAUUGCUGCUCCAAUAAAUUUUUCAAUGGGAUUUCUAUAUUUACAACAAAUUUUCAGUAUUGAAACAGGAUUAAAAUCAUAAAGUGUCUUUUAAACAGCAGAGGCAACAAGAUCCUACAGAAAAAGAAGGCAAAAAGUAGUUACAAGCUACAGAAACGCAAAUAUUCUACUGGCCCACUCCCACUAAAUUCGAAGCGAUUCUAAAAUCUCAGCUUGUACUACUACAUCAUUCCUUCUAUGUGGCCCAACUGUACUUCACCCAGAAAUCACAUUUCUUCAUCAGAGAUAAUUUUACUUCUAAUCAGAGAUUAUUUUUUAUAUGCAUGGCUUUACAGUAAUGAAUAAUUUUCCUUAAAUCUUUUCUAACAGACAAGAAAGCACAAAGCACAAAAAUUCAUAUAAACAACUUUUCUCGAAGCUUUUUCAUAAGAAAACCUGAACAUGAUUGCUUCUCUUAGAAGGCCCCCUAGCUUCCUGCAAGAACCUGGUGUUCCAAAAAAAAAUGAUUAUAAUUAGGCAUAAGGUCCUAAUGUUCUUGCAGGAAUUAUGAUGAAUAUCAGGGUUUCAAAAAAAAAAAAAUUAAGACAACGAUUACGGAUUUAAAGCACACAGAAUUUACACUUUUCUCCAUGUGAUUUAAAAGCACACAGAAUUCUCCUGACCUUAAUUGAAAUCCAAUAUUGUAGACUCAUUGUUGUAGCUAGAAAAUCAUAUUAAUAGAGUAAAAUUUAUAAAUAAUCAAAGAAAAGAGUUCACGCUCUUACUUCAUUACUUUUAUAAUCUUAUUAGUAUAUCAACUUACAUGUCUUCAGAAAAUACAGUUUUAAGGGGAUAUUUUUAUGGUUGUAGAUAUUUUUAUUUUUCUUCUUAAUAAUAGAUUUAAUUUUCAUAUUUCUAAUGUUAAGUUGCAGAUUUGGACUAAAUCAGAUUAAAUUUCAAAUUAGAUCACCGACCUUAUUUUAAUAGGUUCAAUUGGAUUUUGGACAUCUAAUUAAACAACUGGAAUAAUAAAUUGCAAAUGAAUGAGAUUUAUAUGUGAUUUUAAAAUAAAAUUUGAACUCAAAUCUAUGUAUUCAAUUAAUCCAACAGGACAAAUUUAUAAUUUCCACCAACUAAAUAAAAUAUGUUAUCAGAAACUUUUGGAUCAAGUCGGGGCAGUGUAUUACUUCGUGGGUCUGCUACUACUUAUAGUCCAUUCUCAUUUCAACUUUCACAUCUUUUAUAUUAUGUACAAAUUGGAUUAUAUUCUAAAAAAGUGUUUCUAAUUGUUUAACGUUUUAUUUCUGGGUAUAUUUAGAGAUUAAAAAAUAUGGGAAACAUAAUCAAUUUUAUCAAAUAAAAAGGAGUAUUGUUCAUUUUUUCAUAAACAAUGUGUUAAAAUACUUUUGGUUUUUAAGAAGUAACAAUUUUUAUUUUCAUAAAAUAGCAUUCAAAAUUAUAUUAAAUAAAAUUAAAGAUUAACAAAACUGACAUCUGAAUUUCGUGUAAAUUAUAAUAAGUUUGUCUCCAGCAUGAGUAACAUUAAAGCUUGGCUAGCAUCAUCAUAUUUUAUCUCCAGCAUCAAAAUUCUGAUAACAUCAACAUCAUAAUUCCAAGGUUGUCAAACUAAUCAUCUCAAAAUGUCAUUAUACUUAUAGCGUGCUGGCAUUAUCUUUACUUUCUGCAUCAAAAUUCUUUUAUUUAAUACACUUUUAUUUCAUACAAUUUUUUAUCAAAUUAAGAUCCUUUGUGAUCUAAACUCUCUUGAACUUUUAAAAAUCUUAUGCCACCUCUUCUUUAGUAAUAGUAAUAGUAAUAAUAUGAUUAUGAUUUAAUUAUUUUAUUUUUUAAUUUAUCAAACACCAAUCACUUAAAUUUAACUCAAGAAAAAAUUAGAACAUCAAAGAAUUUUAAUUGCUUCUUAUUAAGUACUAGAAUUAACUUCUCCCAAUGAUAAUUUAUUAAGCAGACCAUAAUGAUCAUCUUACGCUAAAGAACCAACCCAUCUUCAAAACACAAGAAUUUAGUACAAAUAAUUAUCCCAAUAAAGUUUAACGAAAAAGCAAAGAGAUAUUUUUAUUAUUUCUUUUACUUUCCUAGUGGCUCUGCUACUACCUAUAGGCUAUAGUCCAUUCUUAUUCAACAUUCAGAUCUUUUAUAUUAUAUGCAAAUUAAAAUAUAUUCUAAAAAGUGUAUCCAACUGGUUAACAUAUUAUUUCUAGAUAAUAAUCAAUUUUAUCAAAUAAAAAAGAGUUUUUGGUCAUUCAUUUGGCUCCGUUGCCACUUGUACGUUACAAAAGCUUUUGUCUAUGCUGACUCAGUUACUGUAAAAUGUCGUUCAGCCCCUUAUACUCUAUGUUAUUUAUAAUUUAUUUAUAAGAAUUAUGAAAAUUUCUACUUACCUACACUAUCAAAAUUCAAUUUAUCUCCUCACAAUCUUUUUCAUUUACUAUUUUUUUCUAAGUAUUAAAAGAGUUCUAUUUACAACCACGACAUAUUAAUCAUCAUAACACACAAAUAUUAAUAAAAAGAUAAAAAUAUCCUUAAAUUAAUACUAAAAAUGCUUUCCUCUCUUCUUUAUAAUAUCAUAUUAUAAUAAUUAAUACUUUCAUGAUAAAAGAAUUAAAAAAAUAAAAAUAAAUUCCCUUUGAAUCCAUCCCUCUCUAAUAUCAUUUUCUCUUCAUUAGGAACAUUUAUCGACAAUUGAAGCCACCAUCAGACUCAUCACACAGAGAGAGUGAGAGAGGGGAAGAAGAAACAGAGAAAAAAUAUAUGAGACAUUUACAAUUUUAUAGUGUGUUUAUUCAACGGGAUUUAUAUAUAGUUGCUAAGGGGUUUCAUCAGACACAAGGAGUUGAUUACACUGAAACUUUUAGUCUAGUAGUUAAGGCUUCAACAGUCAAAGUUAUUCUUAGCCUAACAGUACUUAACAAGUGAAUAAGCAGACAAGUGGAUGUUAAUAAUGUCUUCCCCUAGCAGUACUUAACAAAUGAAUAAUCAGACAAGUGGAUGUUAACAAUGCCUUCCUUAAUGGCAUUUCAGUUGAAGAAGUUUACAUGGCACAACCUGAGGGGUUUGUGGAUCCUACUAAACCCCAACACAUCUGCAAAUUAAAAAGGACUAUAUAUGGCUUGAAGCAAGCUCCCAGGCUUGGUUUGACAAAUUCAAAGCUGCAAUGAUUACUCAAUGGCAUUUUCAACACUCAAAAUCAGAUAAGUCUCUCUUCUAUAAAUGGAUCAAUGGUCAUGUAAUUCUAGUUCUGGUUUAUGUUGAUGAUAUCAUACUCACUGGUUCAAAUUCUUACUUAAUUCAGCCAGUCAUUCAAGACAUGCAUCACACCUUUGCUUUAAAAGACUUGGGAGCUCUUAACUAUUCUCUAAGAAUUGAAGUGGUUAAAUUAGCAAAUGGCAUUUAUCUGUCUCAAGCAAAAUAUAUUGCUAAUAUAUUGGCAAACAUGAUAUGGUUCACUGCAGUCCAUUACAUAUUCCUAUGUCUACCAGUCACUACCUCACAAAAGAUUCAAGUGACAUUAUUGCAAAUGUGUCUCAGUACAGAAGUAUCUUAGGUGCAUUGCAAUAUGUUACUCUUACAAGGCUUGACAUAACAUAUAUAGUUAAUAAACUAAGUUAGUUUUUAUUUAGUCCUCGAACACAACAUUGGGAGGCUCGCAAAAGGUUGCUAAGGUACUUAAAAAGAAUUUUACAUCUUCGAUUGCAUUAUUACACAAAUGGAGCUAUGCAGAUACAUUAUUUCAUAGAUUCUAAUUGGGCAUGUGAUAGGGAUGACAGGAAAUCACUUGCUAGUUUUGCAGUCUAUCUAGGUCCCAAUUUAGUCUCAUGGUCAUCCAAGAAACAAGCAGUGGUAUCAAGGUCAAGUAUAGAAGCAGAAUAUAGAGCAUUAGCUCAUGCUACUUCAGAGGUCAUGUGGAUACAAUCUCUUCUUAGUGAGUUGCAAAUUAAACUUAGCACCACUCCCAUAAUAUGGUGUGAUAAUCAAGAAGCUAUUGCCUUAGCAUACAAUCCAUUUUAUUAUGCCAAAACCAAACAUGUUGAGCUAGAUAUACACUUCAUUCGAGACAAAGUUGUAGCUAAGAGCAUUGAGGUUAGUUAUGUGCCCAGUGAAGGUCAACCAACUGAUGUAUUAACCAAAGCUCUCACUUUUAAGCAGUUUCAUUGCUUGUGAAGCAAGCUGAAUGUCUAUCCUGGACAUUUUAGCUUGAGGAGGGAUGUUAGUGAUAUUGAAUUUCAAGCAAAGCAGAGCACAAAAUCAUUAUAUGACUGACCACAACUGAUUCACUCAUUAAGCUAACUUGGCAAGUUAGUUAUACAGCUCACCUCACAUGUAUCAAAUUUCGCGUGUGUAUAACAGAUUGUAUGAAUCAUUUAGCUUGCUAUAUAAAUAUGUAAUGUGUACUCAGUUUUCAAUUAGUUAAUUACAAAGGAAUCUUAUAUUUGCUUCUAUACAAAUUCUCUUUACUUUUCUUUCAUUUUCUUGCCAAACAACACUUUCUUUAGAAUUCUUUCAUGAAAGGCAAUGAGACAAAAAUGUAAAGAAGAAGAAAUUGAAGAUAGGGUAGGGCUAUUGGCUCUCUAAAAUUUAUUUUGGACAUUGAUGUGAUCUUUAAAAAAAAAUUACAUAAUUUUAUUCUUAGGUUAUGUUUAUCUCUUUGAGUUGUUAUCAUAGUUCAUUUUGAUUAAAUAAAAGUAGUUGUUGUAUUAACAUAAUUCUAAUGAACAUAGGUUUUAUUGUGCUUUUAAUCUUUAGGUCCAACUUCUGUAAGAUAGUAUUUAAACCAGCAUCAAUGUCAAUAAUAGCAGGCUGAAAUGUUUCUUUUGGAGACUGAAUAGUUGUAUUGGGAGAUAUGUCCCUCAAAGUACCAAAAACAUAUUUAUUAAAGCUUAGUUUCCUUGAAUUUGCCCAUUUAUCACUUGUUCUUUUUAUUUUGUUUGAUUUCCUGUUGUAAUAAUUUGUGUCUGUAAGACUAUAACAGACACUCACAUUUUAAUAGUUCUUUAUAUCACUAAAUUAACCUUAAUGUAAAAUUAACCGUAAUGUAAUUUACUAUUAAGGACAAUUUAAUAAAAUAUAGUUCAAUAAAUUUUUAUCCAACAUCUUAUUUUAUCUACAAUAAACUAGAUAAACAAUGAAGAAAUGAAUAAAAGUUCACGUGAAAACGAUGUCUAUACUUAUGGGCUAAACCUUUUUUUUUCAGUUUUUUUGUUAAUAGAAUUGUUAGGAAAACAUCAUGUAACACGUUCCAUCUUUUGUAACAAAAGGAAUUAAAAACAGAGGUGGAGGAAGAACAAUAAAUUGCACCACUACAACAUAUGAAAAACGAAAGAAAUCAAAGGAUAAAAUCUGUUUCAAAUUUGUUUUCUGAUCUUCACUCAAUCUAAUCUGCAUGCUUUCAUGGAUUUGAAAAACAAAAUUGAAUUGCGACAUUAAAGAGAAGAACAAACAUAUGUCAAACCAUAUUAUGAAAGCAAAAUAAAAGUUGAUAAAAAAUGAAAAAAAGUUCAAACAUUUUGUUUGUGAUGAUGAAUAUUUUAUUAGAUGUAAAGAGGAAAUAAGAUAAUUAAAGAAAUGGGUAAUGAGAACAAUAAAGGAAGUCGAAAAAUAUUUCAAAUACAAAUUAAUAUUUUGAAAUUAUUAAUUGAGUGUUCAAAAUAAAUUUUAGAAUGUAAGAAGUGCAUCGCUGCCCAUUUCUUUGAUGAACCCAGUAGAAACAGCUUUAAAAUUAUAGAAACUGUAAAACGCUGUAAAAGUGAAAACUUUAAAAAGCUUGCUCUAGUAUUUAAACCUUUAAUAGUGCAAAGUCACAAGUCUUGCAGCUAGUUGAUAUAUCCCCAAGCUAAAAACAUGUGUUGUAUACUCAUUUUUUAUAGUGAUACUAGAACUAUUAUUAUCUUAUGUCUAUGUACGUAUGUUUACAAUUUAUUUCAUAAAUUUACUGAGACAAGUGCCGAAAUUUAUGGCGAAGUACGUCCAAUCUAUUGUCACUAAGGCCCUAUUUGGUAUUUAGAUAAUGUAGUUUUUGUGAAAAAAAAUAAUGUAAUUAAGAAAUAAAAAUUAAUAAUAUAUAGUAAUAUGACUUGUAAAUAAUAAUUUGAAAAAAAUAAUAAAGAAUUAUAAGUUUUUUCAAAAUAAAAGUGGUGGAUCAAAUUAAUUUAGCUUUCAAGUCAUAGCAAGUAGUGUUUAUCAAAUAUAAAAAGUUAUAAUUAUCCAAUCUCAAUCAGAACCUGAGCAUUUUUAGCAAAAACAAUACUUUUAUUCUAUAUUUUACAAAUAUCUUCACCAUUAUUCAGAGCACCAACCCUUAACUUUUUUCGAUUAUGUUUGGUAUAACUUUUUAAGCAGAACUUUUACUAAAAAAAAUAAUUGUUUGAUUGUCAAUGAGAUUUUUUAUUAAAAUUUCUAGAAUUACUUUAAUAGGCAAAUUUCUUAAAGUUAUGUUAUGAAAUGAAUAAAAUAAAAUUGUGAAAUAUAUAAAGCAUAUUUUAGACAAUAUAAUAUUUUUAAAAAAUUUUAACCUCUACUCCACAAAAUUUAAAAUUUAAACUUUUAUUAGUACAAAUAAAAUAAUUUAUUUAAUUUUUUAAAAAUUUUACUCAAAUUAUAAUUAAAUAAUAUUAAGUCUUAAAAAAAAGUUAUAAGAUUAAAUAAAUAUAUUUGACUGAACAUACACUAACUUGAACUCUUGAAAAAUAAAUAUUUUGCGCCACAUAAGUAGGGUCCAAUUAUGUUGCAACUGAUGUAUUAUACCAGAGUUCCUCUUUUUUUCCCCGUAUUAUUGGAUAAUUGAUGCAAAUUAAGCAAAGUUGUUGGGUGCUUCUCGUUCAAUCUAGCAGUUGAAAUUAAUUAUUGGAUAAUUGAUGCAGCGACUAGCAACCGUUGCAGCCGGUUGUAUAUUAAUUUAAUAGCAGUUCAGCGAGCGUGGGUUUCGAAAAUUUGUUAGUGCUGAUUAGAGUCUCACUGAUUUCAUCUGAAAAUUGAUCUCGAGACAUCAAUUAAGACAUAAAAUUAGAAUUAGGGGAUCGCAGUUUUUUUGGGAAUUAAAAUUUCCCUAUGAUUCAUACAUGAAUAUGGCCUCUCACUUGUAGGGAAUUGACGGUGAAAUUAUAAUCGUCACAGCAGAAUGCAAUCAAAAGUUACGGUGCUAAAAGUUUAGGCAUAUAUCAAAUUAGAGUGAAUCUCGCAUCACUUUGAUUUGGUCUUAUGCCGAUCGAAUCACCUGAUGCAGUAUGUAAUUCCUUAUUAAAACUUGCAAUUUUUUAUUUUGAAAAGAUUUAAAAUUUGUAAUUUCAUUACAGAAAUGAGGCGGGGGCUCACAAACAGAAAGCUAGCGAUUUAAAGAGCCACAGUCAAGCUUUAGAAGCCGAUGGUAACAUAGUUAGAACAAUAGAAUCUGAUAGCGUUAGGGAUUCAUAAGCUAUUUGUAAGUAUUUGUACUCCCUGACUAAAUAAUUUGGGAAUAUAAGGAUGCAAUAAGAGUUGAGUGGUCUUUAUUCCAAUAGCAUUAUUUUUUUCGAGCUUCAUCCGUGCUCUAUUCAAUCUUUAUGUGCCGCUUGUGUUAUGUUCCUGCAUAUCUAAUUACCUUUAGAUGCUAGUUGAUAUUUGACAAUUUUGCAGGUUAAGGAUAUUAGAUGGGAUGCAGAGCUUGGCAGUCAGAACAUGGAAUCACGGUUGGUUGAAUACUUUGUAGAUGAGUUUAAUAAACAAGUUGGUAAUUGGGUGAAGUGAGGAAGUCUCCCAAGGCCAUGGCUGAACUGAAGAAGCAAGUUAAAUAUACAAGAGCAAUUCUUUGUGCGAACACAAUGGAACCAAUAUCAGUUAUAUCUUUCCACGAUGAUAGGGACUUCAGAUAAGUGGAGUUAAAGUUCAGAUUUUACUGUUUGAGGUGCGUUUGAAGUUUAUUAACAAAAUUAAUGUGUUCUUUAAAUGAGUGAGGAACUGUAGAACAUGACAAGUAGAGUUUAUUGUGUGAGGGAUGCAUAUUCUCUUACAAGUGCUUUGUUCUUUAAUAUAGCACUAUAAGACAUCUUCUGAUGAAAAAUAGAGUCAAUAAAAUUACUCCAGACUGACUGGGCCGUUACGUUUUGGAUUCCAAUUCUUGCAUGAGAUUUCUUUUUCCUUUUUUUCUUUUUUCAAAUUUACUAGUGGUACUUUCAUUUGGUAAACUAUUCUAUACAUACAUAUAUAUAUAUAUAUAUAUAUAUAUAUAUAUACUCUAAUCAAUUAUAUUGGCUUAUUCUCCUUUUAUGUUGAUUCACGCUGCUGGUAUAGAUAAAAUUUAUUUAUUAGUUUUGGUGAAAAAUUUGUUUUGUUGCACACGGAUAGUAAACCCAAAUACAUUCAUAUGUGUUAGAGCAGCUCAUUAUGCUGAACAGAAGAAGGUGAAGACUAAGAUGAAGAAAAUACAGAGCAAGUUACAGGGCAAGUGUGUCAGCAGUGCCAGCUCAGCUAACAGCUCAGCAGAUUAGUUAAAGAUGGUUGUAAGCAUGAUGUGCAUUGUACUGAAGUUAGUUAGCUUUGAUUACAGUUAGUCUUUGGAUUAGUUAAAUGAAGUUACCGUGAUUGCAUUGUAUAUAAACAUGUGAUGCUUUGUAAAAAGGUUAAGCAAAAUAAAAAUCAAAGUUUGUUAAGGAAAUAUCUCCAGAAUUAUCAAUUCAUUUUCUUAGUAACCAAACAACUUUAUUUUCAUUUUCUUUCAUGGUAUCAGAGCCACUCUAAUGGCUAGUUCCAGUAGCACAACAUCAAAUCCAAAUCAAAUGAAUAUAAAUCAAUCAUCACAUAUCUCCUUUUCGUUCAGCACUCCAGUCAAAUUGGAUCGAUCAAAUUUCAUGAUUUGGCGAAAGCAAGUUCUUACUACAAUAAGAGGAAAUCGUCUUGAAGAUUUUAUUUCUGGAAAUCAAAUCAUACCAGAACAAUACAUUUCUAAUACAGUAGCUGAUGGAUCAGUACAGAGAAUCACGAAUCCAGCUUACAUCAACUGGCGAGCUCAGGAUCAAACUUUGCUUGGCUGGAUUUUGUCAUCCAUAAGUGAAGGUAUCUUAAAUACUGUUCUUAAUUGCGAAAAUUCAUUUGAAGCAUGGAGAUCAAUUGAAAAACAAUUUGGAGUACAAUCUGAGGCUAGAGUUAUGCAAUUGAGGUAUGAAAUGAAUGUCCUUAGAAAAGAGAAUAUGUCUAUUGAGGAGUACUGUUUAAAAGUAAAAGUUGUUGCUGAUAAGCUUGCUUGUGCUGGUAGCCCUGUGUCUGAGAAAGAUCUGCUAAUGCAAAUUUUGAAUGGCCUAGGACCUGGAUUUCUAGAUCUUGCUUCAAUAAUUACUGCUAAUAGAAUGUCGUAUGAUGAUGCUUAUGCAUUACUCUUAACACAUGAGGCAAGAAUGGAACAAAAUCAUAAUACUAAAGAUCUUUUUAGUGCAAACUAUGGGAUGAUGAAUGCUAACUACUCUCAGUUUAGAGGAAAUAAUAAGAGAGGUGGUUAUAGUGGAUAUCAAGGGCAAUUUAAUGCUGGAAAUAGGAAUCAAAAUGGAGGAAGAGGAAUGUUUUUCAAUUCAUUCUCAAGAGGUUUUCCAGCUGGUGGAUAUACUGGUAAUGCUGGUGGCAGAGGACAGCAAAUGAAUGCAUAUGCUUAUAAACCUGUGCUUAACAACAGGCAUAAUUUCAAUAUGAAUCAUGGCUCAACUUCAAUGUCCAAUGGAAAUGGAUCUGAUGAUAAUGUGCUUAUCUGUCAAAUCUGUCAUAAAGCUGGACAUGCAGCUGAUGUUUGUUGGCACAGACACUUUGAUGGCUAUGCUCCUCAACCCAGACAAUUUGGAAGGGGCAGAGGGCAUAAGUCUGCUUAUAUGGCUAACUUUGAUCCACAAAUUGGCUUUACUUCACAAUUUGAAGAUUCAUUUGCUACAGAAUAUCCUGGUUAUCAUGGGUACCAUCCACCUGAUAUGAAUGCAUCAGUUGCAUCAGUAAGUCAUCACUCAUCUGAUAUGCAUUCUGUACCUGGAGCAGCUUAUAUUGCAAAUUUUGAAGGACCAGCUGAUGAAGGGUGGUAUCUUGAUAGUGGAGCUACGCAUCACAUCACUAACAACAUGGCCAAUAUGCAUAUCAGAGAUCAAUUCACUGGAGCAGAUCAGCUCAUUAUUGGAAAUGGACAAGGUUUGCCCAUAACUCAUGUUGGUGAUGCAUCCUUUCUCUUUAAAAGUUCCAAUUCUACACACAAACACUCACCUAUAGUACUUAAAGAUAUUCUGUUGGUGCCUUCCAUUACCAAAAAUUUGUUAAGUAUCUCGAAGCUUACCACUGAUAACAACUUGUCUGUUGAAUUUCUUGGAAAUGUUUGUUUUGUGAAGGAUUCUCUGAGGGGACAGGUACUUCUGCAGGGUCUUGCUGAGAAAGGGUUAUACAGGCUGUUAUUGAAAUCAUCAUCAUCCUCUCAGUUAUCAUCAUCUUUUCUUUCUCACAUGUGUUCCAAUAAACCUUUGUCUAUGCUUUCUUGUUGUUGUUUCAAUUCUGUUCCUUCUGGAGUUGUUACAGAAUCUCAGAAAUCAUGUAAUCAAACUGAUGAUUCAUCUUGUAAAACUUCAGUUAAUAAAGCUAUUUUGCUUCAUAGAAAGUUUGGUCAUCCCAAUCAUCAAAUAUUAACUCAUAUACUCAAAACAGCAAAAUCUAUUCAUUUACCUGCAUAUCAAAAGCAACAAAUGCAUCAGUACAUCUGUGAGGCCUGUCAAAUGGGCAAAACACAUAAACUUCAUUUUCCAAUUACUGAAACCAAAACCUCCAAAACUCUAGAACUUAUACACACUGAUUUAUGGGGUCCUUCUCCCAUUAUUUCUAGAGAUGGUUAUCAGUAUUAUAUAAGUUUUGUAGAUGACUACAGCAGGUAUACAUGGAUUUAUCCUUUGAAGCUAAAGUCUGAGGCAUUAGAAGUCUUUAAGCUCUUUAAACUGCAGGUUGAAAAUCAGUUUAGCACAACCAUUAAGAUGAUGCAAUCUGAUUGGGGGGGAGAGUAUAGACCAUUCACUGAGUUUUUAAGCCAAUUUGGUAUCAUCUUUAGACAUCCUUGUCCUUACACUCAUCAUCAAAAUGGGUUAGUUGAAAGGAAGCAUAGACAUAUUGUUGAAUUGGGUCUGACUCUCUUAGCUCAAGCUCAACUUCCCUUUAAGUUCUGGUGGGAUGCAUUUCAUACUGCUGUAUAUCACAUCAACAGACUUCCAUCUCCUGUUUUGCACCUUUUAACCCCAUAUGAAAAGACAUUCAAACACAAACCUGAUUAUGAUUUUCUCAGAUGUUUUGGGUGUUCUUGUUAUCCUUACUUGAGAGAUUACAAUAAACAUAAAUUUGCCUACCAUUCUAGUAAGUGCAUAUUCAUUGGUUACAGUCCUUCACAUAAGGGCUACAAAUGUUUACACCCUUCAGGUCGAGUCUAUGUGGCAAGACAUGUUACCUUUGAUGAAUCAGUUUUUCCUUAUGCCACUGAGUUUGUUUUUCAUAGUCAUGCUAAAACUGAUUCUCAAAUUUCUCAUUCCCAUACACCACAGCAAAUCCAUCAUAUCUCUUCUUUGCCUGUCAAUAACAGCACUGGUAAUCUGAACUCUGUAAGAUCUGGAAGCAGCAGUUCAAGUCACUCAGAUCAUCUAGAACAGACAGCAACUGAUCAGAAUUCACAACAAGCUACCAUAAAUGACAGGUCACCUUUUCAUACAUGUCCAACAAUUGUUGAAUCUAUACAAAAUAUUCCAGAACCUCCACAUCACUCUUUGCCUAUACAAAGUCACCAUCCUAGCAACACUUCUUUCUAUCCAUAUACACAACCAAAUACACAUCAGAUGAUAACCAGAAGUAAAGCAGGGAUUUUCAAACCCAAAAUUUAUACUGCUGUGCUUACUCACAAGGAACCAGAUACUGUGCAAGAAGCAUUAAAUGAUUCAAAGUGGCUACAAGCUAUGAGGGAGGAAUAUGAUGCCUUGAUUAAGAAUAAUACAUGGACAUUGGUUCCAAGACAAGCUGAUCAGCAUGUGGUUGGAAAUAAAUGGGUGUAUAGAAUCAAAUAUAAUACAGAUGGAAGUGUAGCUACGUAUAAAGCUAGACUUGUUGCAAAGGGUUUUCAGCAAGUGGCAGGGAUUAACUAUUUUGAGACAUUUAGCCCAGUUGUGAAGUCAGCUACAGUUAGAGUAAUACUUAGCUUGGCAGUGAUGAAUCAGUGGAGAAUAAGGCAAGUGGACGUCAAUAAUGCCUUUUUGAAUGGAGAGCUAACAGAAGAAGUUUUCAUGUCUCAACCUGAUGGCUUUAUUGAUGCUCAGAGAUCUGAUUUUGUAUGCAAAUUACACAAGUCUCUGUAUGGGCUCAAGCAAGCUCCUAGAGCCUGGUAUGACAAGCUUAAAGGAUGCUUAAUAAGCUGGGGUUUCACUACUACUAGUUCUGACACCUCAUUGUUUGUUAGGAAGAUCAAGACAUCUAUGAUCAUAGUUCUUAUAUAUGUUGAUGACAUACUGAUCACAGGUCCAAAUACUGAGGAGCUGGAAGGUUUCAUAACUGAAUUCAGCAAAACUUUUGCUCUAAAGGAUCUGGGAGUGUUAUCUUAUUUCCUUGGAAUUGAGGUAUUAUAUGAUGCAGAUUGUAUGUACUUGUCACAGAGAAAGUAUAUCAGAGAUUUGUUAUCGAAGGUAGAAAUGACUGAAUGUAAGGGCAUUGAUACACCCAUGAGUACUGGCUCUAAACUGCAAAAGAUAGUUCAGGGGGAACUUGGAUACUAUCUUGAAGAUCCAACUCAUUAUAGGAGCAUAGUUGGAGGAAUGCAGUACCUGAUACUUACCAGACCUGAGAUUGCGUUUGCUGUAAACAAGCUCAGUCAGUAUGUAGCUGCACCAACACUACAACAUCUAAUGGCAUGCAAGAGAGUUCUAAGAUAUCUAAAGGCAACUCAAGAUUAUGGUUUAAAAUUUUUCAGAGAAGGAAGCUUAACACUCACUAGUUUUACUGAUGCAGAUUGGGCAUGUGACUUAGAUGAUAGGAAAUCAGUUGGUGCUUAUUGCAUUUAUUUAGGCAAUAAUUUGAUAUCCUGGUCUUCUAAGAAACAAUCAGUGAUAACCAGAUCAAGUGCCGAGAGUGAGUAUAGAGCUUUGGCAUCAGUGAGUGCAGAGCUGACAUGGUUACAAUCCUUAUUUUCUGAGUUGGGAUUAAGUUGCAUAGAAAAGCCAAUCAUAUGGUGUGACAACAUUAGUGCCACUGAACUAGCAAAGAAUCCUGUGUAUCAUUCAAGAACAAAGCAUAUCGAAAUUGAUAUGCACUUCAUUAGGAAUAAGGUUCUUGCUGGUGAGUUGAUUAUUCACUAUGUACCAAGUGAAGAACAGAUUGCAGACAUAAUGACCAAGCCUCUUUCAUUUGUAAGGUUUAACUACUUGAGGUCCAAACUCAAUGUCCAUCUUUGUCCUCUGAGUUUGAGGGGGGCUGUUAGAGCAACUCAUUAUGCUGAACAGAAGAAGGUGAAGACUAAGAUGAAGAAAAUACAGAGCAAGUUACAAGGCAAGUGUGUCAGCAGUGCCAGCUCAGCUAACAGCUCAGCAGAUUAGUUAAAGAUGGUUGUAAGCAUGAUGUGCAUUGUACUGAAGUUAGUUAGCUUUGAUUACAGUUAGUCUUUGGAUUAGUUAAAUGAAGUUACCGUGAUUGCAUACAGGUGAUGCUUUGUAAAAAGGUUAAGCAAAAUAAAAAUCAAAGUUUGUUAAGGAAGUAUCUCCAGAAUUAUCAAUUCAUUUUCUUAGUAACCAAACAACUUUAUUUUCAUUUUCUUUCAAUAUGGAUAUCUGGGGUUUGUUUUGUCUUUUAGGAGCAGCAUUACCUGUCGAAAGUUCAAAGAGCUCACUGAACUUAAGCAUUCGGGGUUGAAAAUGGACGAGAUAUAUGCAGUGGAGUUCAUUGGAGGAGCUACUAUAGUGCCAAAGUUGCAGGUUUGCAAUAUCCGCUUUGUUUUGGUAGUUAGCCCGAGUAUUAAAUUCUUGAGGCGUGUAAGGUAGUGGACUUUAGCCAAUUCAAGAGUAGAAUAUAAUAUGUUUACUUGUUUUGAUCUUAAUCUUUAAUCACUUACCCUGAAUAAGAAAUAAUUUUUUAUAUUUGCUCUGCUAUGAUGUUAUUCGGUGUUAAUAGCUUCGUUUUAUUGCUCUUUUCCGCACAAAUUCUUGAUCUCAAAAGAACUUUUAUUUUGAAUAUUCUGCGUAAGGACAAUCUGAUUUAAUACCAUCAGUGAUUUUUCAUUUUUUCUCUUUAGUUUUAAUAUGUUUGAUAACUGUAUGGUUAAGCAAUCUAUGCAAUUUUAUCUUGUCGUAUGUUUGAGCUCAUUUUUUGUUGCACUUCUGAAUAUUUGGUAUUAAUUAUGUGAUAUCGGACAAUACUAUUAACUUGUUAAUUGCUUAAAUCUAAUAUCUUGUCAAAGUCACUAAUAGCAUUUCAUCAUGCAAUGAGUUAAACAUGGAACAAAUGAUGACAUGCGGUUGUGGAAUGUGUUAGAUCUCUGGGAUUCUAUGUCCUUAUGCUUGCAGGGCAACACAAUACAUUUGUUAAAACAUUGAAGACUGUGAUGUCCGCAGAAAAUUAUACGUCAACUUAUGCACCAGGCAUGAUGAAAUUAGCCAAAGACAGUGCUUGGAAGUGGCAAGCGACAAUUUGCUUCUACCAAUGACUUCAGAUCUUAAACCUGUUUCAAGCAAGGCCAGCAAUGACAUUAUGUUCAAAACAGUUUAGCCAGACACACUUGUUCACACCCCUCUACUACAUAUAACCUAGAGGUACAUUUUUUCUUUACAUUCUUUCUAUACGAUUGGGAUUAGGCUUAUCCAGUUCAAUACAUUAUUUCACAAAACUUAUACCAACUUAUUCCUAAUUAUAGUGGACACAAUUAACUUACUUUGGCAAUUGUUUCGAAGAGGUUGACAUCAACUACCAGUGAUGACAAUCUCUUGUAAUGUUUUGGUGCUAUCUACUAAAUAUUACUACUACAUAAUAUUGACAAUUCAUCUAUGUGCAGGCCCGUGAUAACCAUUUAGAUCGACCAGAUAAAGGACUUGGACAUCAACAAUUUGCCCAGAAACCAAUAAGAUAUUGUAAUCAUAAGCAAUCACCCAUCUCUUUGGAUGGUGCUCUAUUGUGAUUCUUUCCUCUAUGACUGUUAAAUAAGCAAUGUAUUGCACUUUUGUUAUGCAAAAGUAUGGCGACCAUGUAUCAACCAGUGCAUCUAUUUUAUACACUAAUUAUGACUUACUAGAAAUUUUAUUACAUUAAUCAUUUUUAGAUAGCUACUCAUCGCAAACGAAAUAAACUGUUCAGGGACACUUGACCCAACAUGCUUGUGACCGACCUUAGAAUAAUUUUUUGUCACUUAAUAUAGACAACUUCUACGAGGUUAAUAUUUCUUCAAAUUUUAACAAAAUCAUUGGCCACAUGAAAACAUACACAUGUUUCCGUUGGCAUGUUAAGUAGACGGGAACAACAUGCGGGGUAUGUACGCCAUUACCUUAAACGAAGCAAAAUUAUCUUGUGUUUAUCAAAGUUUGAAACUAAUUCUGUGCUUACAAAGAAUGUAUGAAUAACGCAUUAUACUCAUACACCAAAUUUUAAUAUGAUGGAAUCAAGUAAUUCUGUCUUAAUCAAAGUUUUUAGACUUACAAGAUGAUGGUCAAGUUUAUAUAAAAGCAAAUAACACUGAAAUCUAAUCAUCCUAUACAAACAAAUAUGAUUUAUUCAAUUAUAGCAAACAAUUGUUUUAUCGGAGUUAAUUACAUUAUUGCUAAACUUGUAUAAGUUUUCCUGUUUCAAACAUAUCUACUUAAUUACAUUAUUCAUCGACAAUGUUACUUUGCCAGUGGAAGUUUCAUUUUUUCAUACCUUAAUCACUAUUUAAUGCUUCGUUUUCCAAUAGUUCUAAUUCUUCAAAUUUUGGUUUUAUUCUUCCAUAAUUAUAAAUUGAUACUGAUUCGCAUGACUCAAAUUAAAGUGGUUAAUUACUCUAAAGUAUAAAUCUAGCAGUCAAUAAUUACAUAAAAAUAAUUGCAAAAAAAAAGUUAAUAAGGAAUAGUAUAAAUUUAAAAACUGCCAAAGUUACGAGAUAUAUGCUUGAUAUUUAAAUCAUGGCCAUAAUACUUUCUCACAUUAUAUAUAUAUAUAUAUAUAUAUAAUGUGAUUCAGUUCUUUAAUUAACCACUCUAUGAAUAAAUAUGAGAAUUAAGUACAUAUUAUGCCACAACCUUAUUGAAGUGUUCCCACUACAAUAUUAGUAGUCAACAUUAGGUCUAAACACCCACAUAAAUCCAAGGGAUCUAGAUCUACAAAUAUUAACCACUCUAUGAAUAAACAUGGGGAUGAAGUACAUAAUUGCCACGACCAUAUUGGAAUGUUUCCACUACCAUAUUCGUGUGUCAACGUUGCGUCUAAACAUUUAUAUACAUCCAAGCAAAUUUAUAUUUGUAAAUAAAUAUAAAAUAUGGAAUGAAAAUAAUCGGUAGAAAAUAUAAAUUACAAACAAUAAACUUAAAAUACAUUUGAGAAAGUAAUUAAAUCCACAAUUUAGAUCCUUGAAUUUCACACUCAUCACCUUAGCUUAAAACAUUAGCCACUCAUAUUAAUAAAAAAAACACUCAUUUUGUUUUAUAAAUUUGUAAAAGUAUAAUACAAGAAAAAUUAAAAUAAAGAAGAGAAAAAAAAAAUCUCUUCUUAUUAACUACACUUCUUCAUAAAAUUCACUCUAAAUUUCUCUAGGAAACUCACCUCUAAAAUUCUACACACCGAAUUAUCAAAUCUCUUGCCUUUAUAUAAAGGUAAAUUCUAGGUUGAUCAAGUGUGGGUAUUUACAUGAUAUUUUUGGUGAACUUGCAACCACAACCUUUAAAUGACCUUUGAUAAUACAAAUACAAUCCAAGGGGUCCAAAAUUGCAAGUAUUGUCAUGCAUAAUAAAACGGUUCAUUCAACAUAAUCAAUGGCUAUAAAGAAGUCAAAUCGGGAUCCUCCAUUGGAUUUUUUUUUCUUAAUUAUUCAAGGUGGUUGAAUCACUAUAUUGAUAAGUAUUAAAUUUAGUAUAAAGAGGUGCAUGUGAGCUCAGACACACGACACAUAUCAACUUUUCAGAAUUAAUGUUAGAUAAAACGGCUACCAAUAUUUUUGUGAAAAUUAAAAUUAAAAUUUUUACUUUUAUUUAAUGUAUACUUUCUAGUAUUAAUCAUUAAUGAACAAUUUUUUAUUUCAUCGCCGUCUAGAUUGCUUUUAUCUUAUACAAAUUUAUUUAAAACCUUUAAAUAGUUUCUAACCACUAUAUAAUUUUAUCUGUCGUCCUUAAUCUUGUUAUCCACAACUGACCAACAUAUUGUUACCUACCAUUAUAGUUGUGUAAUUCACCUUUUGUUAACUGACUUCACUAAUAUAUUUUAAAAGAAACGUGGCCAUCUGUUGCUCGUUGGAUCACUUGCUUUUAAAUCCAAUAAUUCCGUGAGAUAAAGACAAAACGCUUGCUAUAGCGCUACAGUUACAACAUAGACGUGGCCGUAGAGGCGAGAAAAAAAAUCUAUUUGUUUAGUCACUGUACACUUUUUCAUUCAUUUUGUCCGCUUCCAAAUCCUCGGGAGAAACAACACAAAUAAAAAAAAGAUUUUAAGAAAUUUGAUGCCUUGUUCGCCGAAUCUCUCCACUUUUAAAUAGUGUCGUGAUCCUGAUCGUGUGAUCUGGUAAUGGUAUGACAAUUACUUUGGAGAAAACACCGGCCCACUUUUAAUAAAAUAAAUUUUAUACCAAACGAAUCAUAAGGCAAAAACACUGCACUUACCUAUCCAUACUGAUUAAACUCCCUCACCAUCACAUUUUAAUAAUGACAAUUGGUUGUGUUAGCAUUUUGGUCAAAAGGCUGGACCCCCCCGCCCCCACAAAACAAACAAAAAAAAAUUAUGAUAAUAAUUAACAUUCAUAAAUAAAAAUUAAUAAUGGGUGUGUUAGCAUUUUGGUCAAAAGCGGGUUUGACCUUCACAUUAAUUGGAAUUUUGGAUCUAUAAUAUGAUUUUCACCGAAAAUAUAAUUUUGCCGCUAAUUAUUUGGGUAAUCAGAUAAUAAUAACAAAAAAAUGUUAUCUCUCACCUAUAACUUGAGGAGAUAAUAAUAAAAGUCUUUCAUCAUAAUCUACUGUUAGUUUCUCUUCUUCAUUUUUUUCUCCUUUGAAGUCUUUCAACAAAAAUGGGUGGCAUCAUCUCAACCUUCUUCUCAGCGGACACAAUUCGUCCAAUUUUAUUUUACGUCGGUGGACAAGCAAAGUAUAUAUGGGGUCUUAAAGGUAAUCUCGAUGACUUGCAGACUCAAAAGGAGAACUUGAUUGCGAAAAAACAAGAUCUGCUGAAUAAGGUUAAGCUUGCCGCGCAACAACCCCGAAUCAGACGGACGACGACGGUGGAACUUUGGUUUAAAAGGGUGGAAGAAAUGGAAACUAAAGUUGAAAAUCUGCAAAAAGAAGGAGAUCAACAGGUUGAUAGACUGUGUCUUGGAGGCUUCUGUUCCACGGACUUGAUUUCAAGCUACGACUUCGGCAAAAAAGUGGAGAACUUGAGAGAAAAAGUGAUCGAACUGAAGAAAGAGGGGGAAGCAAUGAAAGAAGUUUAUGAGGGGGUACCAGAAGGUGCAGCGGUUGAAAAAGCUGUUGACCGAACAAUCGUUGGUCAAGAAUCAAUACUUGACCGAGUGUGGAGAUGCAUCACAGAUCAAGAAAAGAAUGAGGAAAUUAUUGGCUUAUAUGGUAUGGGGGGCAUCGGCAAAACUACUCUGUUAAAACAAGUCAACAACAAGUUCUGCAGUGAGGAGCAUGAUUUUGAUGUCGUUAUCUGGUCGGUUGUAUCUAGAGAGCCAAACUUGAAGCAGAUUCAAGAGGAUAUUGGGAAAAGGAUAGGCUUCUCAACAGAUUCAUGGCAGGGAAAAAGUUUUGAAGAAAGGGCUUCAGACAUCACCAACACUUUAAAGCAUAAGAAGUUUGUAUUGUUAUUGGAUGAUAUAUGGGAGUCCGAAAUUGAUUUAACAAAAUUGGGCGUCCCUCUUCGGACACUAGAUUCUGGGUCCAGAAUAGUCUUCACAACUCGUUUUGAGGGUACUUGUGGUAAAAUGGGAGCCCAUAAGAAUCGGUACAAAGUGUUUUGUUUGGGAGAUGACGAUGCCUGGAAAUUAUUUGAGGGGGUGGUCGGGAGUUACGUUCUUAACAAGCAUCCCGACAUUCCGAAGUUAGCCGAGGAUGUGGCACGUCAGUGUCAUGGUUUGCCGCUGGCCCUCAAAACAGUAGGUAAUGCCAUGGCGAGCAAAGUGUACCCUGAAGAAUGGAAAGAAGCAAUUGAGAUCCUAAGCGCAUCAGCUUCUAAAUUCGAAGAUAUGGAGAAAAAGGUGCUUUCGAGCUUAAAGUUCAGCUAUGACAGUUUGCCGAAAGAUGAACUUCGAUCUUGUCUCCUGUACUAUUGUUUAUUUCCCGAAGACUCUGAAAUUGAAAAAACUGAGUUGAUAGAGUAUUGGAAAAGUGAAGGAUUUGUGGAUUCCAGCAGCGGGUGGGGGGUUCUUGGUGCUCUCGUUCGGGCAUGCUUAUUGGAGGAAGCAGGUGAUCGUGUAAAAAUGCACGAUAUGAUCCGUGACAUGGCAUUAUGGAUAGCAACGGAAAUAGAGGAGGAGGAGAACUUUUUGGUUCGUGCAGGAGUUGGAUUAACUGACGCCCCAAAGAUUGAAGAAUGGGAAGGGGUCAAAAGGAUAUCCUUGAUGAGGAACAAAAUUCGAAGUCUACCACAAAUUCCCACUUGUCCGCGUCUGCAAACAUUGCUUCUGGAAUAUAAUCAUAUUGAGGAGAUCACUGAGAGUUUCUUUCAAUCUUUGCCUUCGCUUAGAGUUUUGAAUCUAAGUGGAAAUCAUUACCUAACUGAACUACCUGUAGGGAUUUCAAGUUUGGUUUCAUUACACCAUCUUGAUCUGUCUUCUACUGGAGUACGUGGAUUGCCGCAAGAGCUCAAGGCAUUGGUGAAUCUGAGAUAUUUGAACUUGGAGUAUACACAUGAAAUGUCUAGAAUUCCAGAGCAAUUGAUAUCAAGCUUUCCAAAGUUACAGGUACUCAGGAUGCUGUAUUGCGGUUCAAACCACCGGCCAAUAGCGGAAGAAGGCAACGUUCUAUCCGAUGAUGCUGAAUCAUUGAUGAAGGAAAUCCACUGUUUGGAACAAUUAAACCUCAUCACCUUGUCCUUACAUGGUUCGCGUGGUGUUGAAAACUUUCUGAAAUUCCCAAAGCUGCAGAAUAUCACUCAAGCUCUGUACAUCAAAGACUGCAACAGUCUACCGCUCAAUUUGUUGCAUCUAGCAAACAUGGAGCAUCUUGAGCGGUUAGUCAUUUGGGACAGUAAUUUGGAAGACUGGAAUGUCGACUGCGCGGGAGAGGUACAAAAAAUGCGAAAACUUCACUUUGUUACAAUAGCCGAAUGCUCAAAUGUGAAGGACUUGACGUGGCUUGUUUUUGUUCCAAAUCUCAAGUGGCUGCGAAUAUAUGAUUGUGAUGACAUGGAAGAAAUAAUCAGUGUUGAAAAAUUUAAAAAAUUGAGUGAAGUUUCAGAGAUGAUGGGAGAGCUUAACUUGUUCACAGAACUCGAAAUUAUGAGCCUAGGAGAUGCAAGUAAUUUGAAGCGCAUCUACCGCGAUCACUUGCCCUUUCCACAGCUGAAGGAAAUUGUCAUAUCUCGAUGCCCAAAGUUGAAGAAGCUCCCACUCAAUUCCAGCAGCGCAAAGGGACGUAAAAUUGUCAUUUACGGGGAGAAAGAAUGGUGGGAAGAGCUACAAUGGGAGGAUCAAGCCACUCAAAAUGCUUUCUCUCCCUGUUUCCUACCUGAGCUACAAUGGGAGGAUCAAGCAAGACUUUGAAUAAAGUUUCUGCGUGUGCUUAAUGAUUAUCUUGUCUAUCUAUUUCAUUUAAUUUAAAAGCUUUCCACGGUGUUGCGUGUCACUUGUCAUUCUUCUGUACUGCUGUUUCCUAUUUCCGGUUAAUAAAACUUUUUUGUUCUUCGAAAUGGUUUGCUCGGAAGCGAGAUCGUCAAUUUUCUUAUAUUUUGAUUAAUAUAUUCUAUUUACUUUCCUAUUAUGUCAAUAAUUGCCUGGUAGCAUAAUUUUUUAAUAUUAUUUAUAUUCAUAUUUAUUAUAAAUUAAAUAAAUAUAUGAAUAGAAAUAAAAAUAAAAAUUAAGUAUUAAAAUAAGAAAUAUAUAUUUCGAUGUGAAUAAAAAAUAAAUAUUUGUUUGUACUUUUUAUUUUAUAUAUUCCUUAGAAGAACAUAUUUAUAAAAUAAAAAGUGCAAGAAAAAUAUUUUAUUAUUAAUUUUGUACUCACAUCAAAAUAUAUAUUUAUUACUUUCAAUACUUAAUUAUUUAUUCAAAUCAUCAUUUAUAUGAUUUAUUUAAUUUAUAAUAAAUAUAAAUAAAAGUAUAUUUGUAAAUAAAAGUAAUAUUAUAAAUUAUGUUGUUAGAAAUUAUUGGUCAUUAUAAAAAUAAUAUGGGAUAAAUGGUAAAUCGUAAAUAUUGUUUCCUAUUUUCAGCUAAAAAAUUUCUUUGUUCCAAGAAUUACAUUGCUAGUAAUAAGGCUUGCAAGUUGCUUAACUGUAUAUGACUUCUUUCUUAAAAAAGUUACUAUCUAUUUCGGAGAUUGAUUAUCUUGAAGUAGUGAGAUUUAUGUAAUGUUGGUAUUAAAAGAAUUUGUGCGACUGAUAAAAAAAUGUCCAUCGGAUAACAAUGGACCGAUAAUAGUUUUAGCAAAAUGCAGGUAAAAAAUUAAAAUAUUCUGCAAGCUCUACAUAGCUUUUUCAGCAGAUUUUACCCAUUUGACUGCAGACCAAAGCAUGGAUCGAAGCAUUUAUUAAGAAGAGGAUCAUCCGGAGGCAAAAGAUCAAGAAUAUCAUCUGAGGCCAGGAUAACAAUGUUCACUGCCCUCGCCAGCAGUACUUGUAGUUCUCUUCUUAACGAGUUUGUUGCCCCUUCCACGUCCUUUCUGUUCAAAGCAUCAAGUGCAGGAAUUAAUGUGUAUUCCAUUGUUGCUCUUAUCUGGUAGCACAACUUCAAAACCCUGAAUAUAAAAGGGGAGGUAACAAAUCAUCAUCUACACCUCCAGAAGAAGAAAGAAGGAAAAAAAAGGUUUGUUUGAUGGUAACCCAUGCUGACAUGCUAUACGAAUGAUGCUUAAGUUCAGAUGCUUCUACUACCUAUCUUAUGUGAAGAAAGAUAUUAAAGAACAACUAAUAUACAAGAGAGACAACAUCAAGUUGAAUGGAGUAAAAUUUCAUCUUCUCUCAAAGCUCUCUUUGCUCAAUCAAGUGAGCUUUACUUUCAAGGCUUAUGUUCACCGCUCUCUUGAGCAUUGAAUUAACACUUGAGACAAAGGAAGUUAAAUAAGUUUAUAUUACUCUAUAAGCCAAACAGUUCAAGACAUAAGUCUUCAGAAGCUGCACAUUAACGUGGCAUAACACCUUGUGAGAUACCAUGUUUUCAUUUCUUUUUAUUACUCCUUUUUCUUCAUUGUUUAUUUCAGGCUUUGCCAACACAAUGCUUUUCUGUACACAUUUCAUUUAACAGUCUUAAAAAAAAGACAUAAACACUACAAUAGGAGGUAGUAAAAUACUCUUGAUUAAAUGAUCUUAUAGAUGUUAGCUUGGUGUUAUACUCUGAAUCAAUCAACCAGGCAUCCAAUUUCCAAAGGAAAAGUCAUGAUUCCUAUGUGAAAAUUUUAGAAUCAUUCAAAUAAUAACGUUAAGAUAGUGCACCAUGAGUUCUGUAACCAAUAUCUAUUUUAUUUCUCUGGAUUCUAUAGUUUAAUUCAGUACUUCUUUCAAGUAAUUUAUUAGUAUCAUAAUAUUCUAUUAUUCACACCAUGUCCACGACAAUGUGAAACAAGUGCCAUACAAGUCACACAGAAGCAAAUUACCUCAAGCUACGGUUUCUUCUGGAAAAAUACUUCAGUUAGAAUUGCAUUCGUUGCAAGCACCCUAAUUGCAUUCGUUGCAAGCUUCGAGUGGCUUCAUAUUGGCUUCCUUGAGCUCCUAGGCGACACACUAACUCAUAUGCAGGAAAGGAAAAGAACUAACCUUACAAACCUCAUCAUGCCAAAAAUGAGAGAGAUGACAUGUAAUUACUAUGCAGCGAGCUCCUGCUUUCUCAAGAAAAACCCUUUUUAUAUGCAGAUUCUCCACAAUUAGAGUAUCAUCCAACUGAACACCCCCCACUAUAACCAUUGAGAAAAGGAAAUGAGCUAUCUCAUGUGACAAUAACUCCUUUUCUAACAAAGGAUCUAACGAAGCAAGAUGGGAAGAUCAUUUUCUUCCUCACGCAGUUGAAAUAAUUUUCUCAAAAAAUUCAAAGUAGAACCAACUGAUGUUCCUUCAAUAAUACCAACUGUGUUUGCUAUGUGAUCUUAUGUUCAUAUUGAUGCUGAAUGUUUUGUCAACGUGUCCCUAAUCCGCAUGUGAAUGCAAUGUGCACGUUACAUUGUUUUGGCUAAUGCCUACCGUUUGAUUCUAAACCACAAAAUCAUUAUGUGAACUAGCUCUCGUGGCGCACAUUCUUAGCCCUUAUCAUCAGCAUUGCUCUCCUUAGGCCCCAUAUCUCAGGUUUAAAUCAUGGGAAAUUGAGUGACAAAAAUUAUAACACUCUCUAAACUUUAGUGGAUUGAAGGAACAUGGGAUUCAUGAAUGAACAGUAAUCUCCAUAUUCUCCGUUUCAAAAGGUUUUUCUACGGCUUCCAAUUGUAUUUCAUUGAGAACAAUGAUUUGCAUAACAUAUAUAUGACUCAAUACUAACUAAAUGCCAUUGAUAUAAUUAUAUAAAUCAAUAGUUUCCAUGUAAAAAAUAAGAGAUAGUAGUAAGUGAAAAGACAUUAAAAUAACAUUAAUUGCUUUAAGAAUAAUAUAUGUUCUUAUUAUGAAUCCUAUAUAUAUAUAUAUAGGAUUCAUAAUAAGAACAUAUAUUCAAGAAUUCUCCACUAUUAAACAAGUCUAAAGGGCUAGAAUUUUAGGAACCUGGAAAAUGUUUUGGAAACAUUCCAACACCAAACACAACUACCAAAAAUCAACAUAAAAAACAUAUCACCUAAAAUUAAAAUGAUAUGUUUACCGAUACAACAUAACCAUAUAAGUAUGUUUCAUUAUAUUUUAUCUAAAAUCUACUGAAUCAAAUACAACUAACACUUUUAUCCUAUUAAGUGAACAUAACAGAAACCCGGAAUCAAUUAUUAAGUAACAUAACAGAUGAAUCAGGUCAAAGGCUGGCUUCUGGGGUAAGAAAUGGUAACCAAAGUUGUUGAUAUGCAAAAUGUAAGAGAUCAAGAACUUGAUAGACUCUGUCUUCGAGGCUUCUGUUCUAAAGACUUGGCUUCAGGCUACGACUUCCGAAAAAAGGUGGCCAUACUGACAGAACAAGUGAUCCUUUUGAAGAAUGAACGAGGAGAAAUCAAAGAAAUUGCUGAGAUGGCACCACAAGAUGCAGCGGUUGAAUUAGCUGUUGAGCAAAUAGUUGUUGGUGAAGAAUCAAUACUUGAUCAAGCUUGGAGAUGUACCAAUGAUCAAGAAAAGAAGAGGGGAAUUAUUAGCCUGUACAGUACAGGGUGUCAGCAAAACUACCCUUUUAAAACAAGUCAAUAACAAAUUCUGCAGUCAGCAGCAGCAUCAUCAUUUUGAUGUUGUCCUGUGGGCGGUUGUGUCUAGAGAGCCAAAUCUUGACAAGAUUCAAGAUGCUAUUGGGAAGAGGAUAGCUUUGUCAGCAGAGUCAUGGAAGGAUAAAAGUCUUCAAGACAAGGCUUUGGACAUCUCUAACAUUUUAAGCAGAAAGAAUUUUAUGUGUUAUUGGAUGAUCUAUGGCAGCAAAUUGAUUUAACAUAAUUGGCUAUCCUUCUUCAAAGCCUGAAUAUUUCAUCCAAGGUGGUUUUCACAACUCGCUUUCUUGAUGUUUGUGGUUCAAUGGAACCUGAUGAAAAUAUUGGGGUCAAAUGUUUGGUUCAUGAUGAAGCCUGGAGAUUAUUUUAAGAGAAAGUCGGUAACGCUACUCGUAGAUGUCAUUCUGAUAUUCCUGAGCUAGUACAAACCUUGGCAAGAGAGUGUUGGUUUGCCACUAGCACUGAAAACAAUUGGUUGAGCCAUGUCCUACAAAAAAAAAAACCCGAUGAAUGGAAGUAUGCAGUUAAGGUCUUAAGCACAUCACUUGAAAAUUUUUCAGGUAUGGAAGAAAAUGUGUUUGCACGUUCAAAGUUUAGUUAUGGCAGCCUGCCUAGCUACACAAUUAGAUCGUUUCUUGUAUUGUAGUUUAUUUCCUGAAUAUUAUGAGGUUUAUAAAGGGGAAUUGAUUGAUUAUUGGAUUAGCGAGGCAUUUGUAAUUGAUUUUGAUGAAGGAUCCACUAUUGUCAGUGAUCUUCUUCAUGCAUGUUUACUGGAAAAGGUAAAUGAUAAUCAUGUCAAAUGCAGGAAGUGAUUCGGGAUAUGGCAUUGUAGAUAGCAUGUAAAAUAGAGGAGGAGGGGAACAUUUUGCUUCAUGUAGGAGUUUUAUUAACUGCAGCACCAAAGAUUGAAGAAUGGGAAGAGGUCAAAAGGAUAUCAUUGAUGGAUAAUAAUAUUACGAGUCUAUCAACAAUUCCUAAUUGUCCUUGUCUCCUAACUUUGCUUCUUUACAGAAUCAAAAUUAGUAUGAUCAUUGAUGGCUUCUUCCAAUUUAUGCCUUCUCUCAACGUUUUGAAUUUAGGAUUCUUUAUAUUUCUAACCAAAUUACAUUCUUUAACUGUCAUAAGGGAGUUGCCAGAAGAGAUGAAGGCCUUGGUAAAUCUCAGAUAUUUGAACUUGGAAUAUGUAAUAUAAAAAAAUGACUGCCUGCAACUGCUGCAUAACUUUCUAAAGUUGCAGGCACUCAAAAUGCUGGGUUACAGUAAUUAUAAUGGAGAAGAAGAAGGUAGAGCUUUAUAUGAAGAUGUCGAACUUUCAUAAAUUGCUCUGUUUGGAAAUUUUGAACCUGCUAAGCAUUACCUUCGAUAGUUGCCCUGUUCUUGAAAUUCUUUUGACAUUACAAAAGUUUCUGAUUUGUACAGAAUCUCUAUGGCUUACAAAAAUUUAUACUCUAUUAUCCCUCAAUGUUUUACCUCUAGCAUACAUGAAGCAUCUCAAAAACUUUCUUAUUCAGAACUGUCCUUUUAAAGAGUUGAAGAUUGAAAAUGCAGGAGAGAUACAAAAUUUACUACAAAAUGGUUUUCGCAAUCUUCAAACAAUUUGCAUAUGAUUGUUCAGGUUUUGAAAGAAUUGAUAUGGCUUGUUUUUACUCCAAACCUUAAGAAUAUUGAUGUGCAGAAUUGCAGUAAUAUGGAAGAAAUAAUUAGUUUUGGAAAAUUAAGUUUCAGAGAUAAUGCUAAAGCAGAACUUGCUGGCAGAACUCAAAUUUUUGUGCCUAAAAGGUAUAGGAAACUUAAAGAGCAUCUUCUAGGAUCCCUUAUCUUUUCCAUAGCUGAAGGAAAUUAAAGUAACUAGAUGCCCAAAGCUGAAGAAGCUCCCACUUGAUUCCAGUAGAGCAAUGGUAGGUACAAUUGUUAUCAAGGGAAAGGAAGACCGGCAGGACGAGCUACAAUCCUACCGAGAUAGAGUUUUGAAUAAGAUUUCUGGUAGGAGCGCUUUUUUUUUCCCCAAUUGAUGUAUCUAUUUGUGUGUAACAUGCAAUCUUGUCUUUCAUAUAAGACACUGUAAUGUAGCCAAUUUCUUUUUCCAAUCAAGAUGGAGGGUAAGCCUCAAAAGCAUUGUGAGUUAUCUUUACAAUUUUCAUCCUUUCCUUGUAUGUGAAAAAAGAUAAUAAAGAACAACAAACUAGUAAUGAAGAACAAGAAAAUGGCAAGUUCAAUAUGGUAGAAGUUAAUCGUCCCUUUAACAUUGCUCAAUUAAGUAAGCUUUACCUCAAGUUCUUGAAGAUCUGAAUUAACAACCAAACAACAAAACAUAUAAUUGAUUAUUAAAACCUUUCUGUGAGGCACUAUUAUUCAGGCCUAAAUAAUAACAAUAAAAUACUACACCACAUCUCAUAUGGCUAAUUCUACUCUCUUUUACUUUGUCUUGGUUCUGCAGUAAAAUUCAGUUCUAGUUUGAAGGAAAUUGUUAACAUCAAAACCUACAUACUGUCUGAGCAUAUACUAACAUCAUAUUUCCAGAUACACCUUAACAGAUCAUAUAAGACAAGAAAUGUGAAAGAAAUACAAAAUGAGUCAUAGAAGGAAAUUACUUGCUCUGCACUUUCUCCUGCUAAACCCGGCAGUUAGAAUGCUAAUUGUUUUGAGCACCCGAAUGCUCAAAGGACCCCAGCUUGAAAUGGCUUUGGAUUGGCUUCCUUUAGCUCCAUUGCAACACACACACCUCCAGGAAAGGAACAAACUAAGAAACCUCAUCAUACCAAAUAUGAGAGAUAAAACAAGGCAUUACUCUGUAGCAAGCACAUCAUUUCUCCAGAAAAUUUCAAUUUCUCCACAAGUACUCCACAAUCAGCGUGUGAUUCACGUUUAACACGUUCAGUUUUAUAAUUAAGAGAAUGAAGAGAAUUCCUCUCAUGAGAUGGUAACUCCUUAUUUAAUCCAGGGUCAAAGCAAAGCAAGAAGGGAAGGUAAAUUCAUUAGAUUAAGAAAAUGAAUAGAGCAUUUGAACCAGAACUCUUGUCAAAUUCUUGAAAUUUCCUGCUUUCAUUAAGAGAACUGAAGGAAGAAAGAACGGGGGCAUAGCCAGAACCAGAUUUAAAUUCAAUCGGGUUUUUUGAAGACUUGUAUAACAACAAAGAGAAACUAGUGAACUGACGGAUACUGUCAAGCUUCUACUAAAGAUCCCUUGUACCAAAAACUAACCAAUUUAAGCUAACAAACCUGCAUGAGCAUCUAAAAUUCAAUACCCAUGGAACAGAUCUGCCUUCAACUUCACAUACCAGCUUCUAUUAACCAAUGACCACCAUUAGAAAUAAGGAUUCUUUAUCGUAAAUUCAUAAUCCAUGAAAGAAAUCACCAAAAGGCCUAACCUUCUCUCUGAGUUCCUUCAAGAACCAAAAUCCACCAAAACAAGUGAAUUUCAAACUCUAUCACUCAUCACUCUCUCUUUCUCAGUUGUUUGGGCCUAUGAGGUCAAUUUACAACAUUCAAUCGAUGCUGAAUAUUUUGUCAGCUUGUCCCAAUUCCAGAUGUGAAUGCAAUGUUCACAUUACAUUGUCUUGCCUACCAUUUGAUUUGAACCAUAAAAUUUGUGUAAAGUAGUUCAUGUUUCACACUUUCUUAGCCGUUAUCAUCAGCAUUCAUCUCCCAUAUUCUCAGGUUUAAAUCAUUGGAAACUGAGUGACAAAUAUGAUAAUAGAAUCAAAACUUUAGUGGCACGAAGGAACAUAGAAGCAACAUCGGAUGUUUUAAAUCUGCAGCAUAAUUUCCUUAGAUCCCUAAAAUAGAUUGAAACUUCAAAUGAAAUAAAGUAGCAGGGUAUACAUUGGAAGUCACGUGCUUGAUAUUUAAUGCUGUCAAAAACAAUUUGCAGUAUUGAAAUAGAUGCUCUAAUAAAUUUUCACAGGGAUUUCAAUAUUUGCCGCUAAUCUUCAGUAGUGAAACAGGAUAAAAUCAUAACGUGUCCUAUAACUAGCAGAGGCAAGAAUAUCCUACAGAAAAAGAAAGCCAAAAACUGUUACAAUCUACAGAACGCAAGUAUUCUACUAGCCAACUCCCAUUAAAAUUUGAAGCCCUUCUAAAAUCUCAGCCUAUACUUCCUUCUAUGUACCCCAACUGAAUUUCUCCCAGAAAUCACAUUUCUUCAUCGGCCUCAACUCAUAUAUCUUUUACUUUUAAUCAGAGAUACUUUUUGAUAUGCUUGGCUUUACAACAACGAAUAAUUUUCCUUAAAUAUUUUCUAAUGGACAAGAAAGCACAAAGCACAAAAAUUCCCAUAGUUGGAUAGAUAAAAACAGCUUUUCCUGAAUCUUUGUCACAAGAAAACCUGAACAUCAUCGCUUCUCUUACAAGGCCCCAGAGCAGAAGAAGUGUCCCAAUGAGGCUCAUCCUCCGAGCUCCAAUUAAGGCUCCUGCAACAGACAAAUAGCUUCCUGCAAGAACCUGAUGUUCCCCCAAAAGAAAAAAAAAAUGACAAAAUGAAAUGCAAUGUACUGCUAAGUUCAAGAGAAAAGCUCCUAAAAUAAAAUUUUGGAGUUUCAGUUUGCCUAUGGUUUUAUGACUCUUUUUGUACAAAGAUCAUAUUUGGGCAUAAGGCUCGUAAUGUUCAAAAUAGCAAAUAAUUGAUAUGAAUAUGAUUGUUUAAAAAAAAUAUUUACAAAAACCUCUAGGCGGAGGAGAUUAGUUUUUUGGGAAUUCGUUAGAUUGGUGAAGUUAUAUAGCCGCAGCAAUUUACUGUAGCUUGGAAUGCUUUUGCCCUUCAUUAUGGCACUUGCUAAGGCUCCAGGAUACAGAAGAACCUUGGCUACAAAUUCAGGGAAGACUUCACUUAUAAUCAACUGGAAGCAUGUCACCUCUAUAGGUGUUGUACAUUUUCUACUUCUACAUGGUAUCCUACAAAAACAAAUAAUACAACAUGUAUUAUACAUGUAUUUCAAAAGCAUUUCUAAUGCUGUUAAGUUUAGACAACAAAAUCUCUACAAGACAUCUGGGAUUCCAACUCCUCAUAUACGAAAUGAAUGUCAAAAAGAAAUGUGGGUUGAGUCGGCUUUUAGGUCUUAUUAAUAGAAUUGAAUAAUGCUGCCAUUGAUAGUAAAAUGAAUUUCAUGUGAUAAUUGAUCAUAAAAGUGACGUAAAUAAUGAGAAAUAAUCACCAUUAUUAUAUAAAAUGAGAAAAUAAUUAUGGAAGAAACAGAAAGAAUUACCUGAAAAGAGGGAUUUGGAAGACAAUGAGACAAAAAUAUAAGGAAGAAGAAAUUAAAGAUAUAAGGCUGCCCAUUUCUUUGAUGAACCCAUCAAAAACAACUUGAAACUGUAAAAUGCUGUGAUGGAGGGAAUUGAAAGAUGAAACUGUAAAAUAUGCAAGUUAGUUCAUGGGGCCAUCUUGAUUGAUUGAUUGAUUACGUAGUAACUAACAAGUGUCCGUUAGAUAGUGACAUCAGUUUUCUCUCUUAAAUUAGGAAACUGUUUAUUUGUUUUUUUUCAGUAAUCAGUUUUCUCUCUUAAAAUAGCCAAAAUUUAGGGGCUUAUCCAUAAUUUUAGCCAGUUUUAGAUAGAAACGCACUUGGCUAGCCCUUUUGUAAGUUACACUAUCUAGUGCGGUAGACCCGCAUGUGCUUCACAUUUAUCGAAUAUCUUAUGUGCAUUUUUUUUUUAUAACUCAUUAUAUGUGCUCAUCUUUAUGUGCAUUAUUACCUAAACGUACAUUCCUCAAAAUGAAUUAUAAAGUAUCAAACGCUUUUAAUUAGACCUUAAUUCUAAUGAGCUCAAUUUAUAGUCUUUAGACCCUUAGCGGUGCAAAGUCACAAGCCUUGCCCAGAGUCUAGUGGUAUAGAUUAUGGGCGACAGGUGUCAUCACUCGAAUGAUUGAUGUCGUUGCUCAGGCGAUGGCGCCCAUUGCUCAUGGACGACGACGUACAUUGCUCAGGCAACGAACCAUUUUGCUAGGCCCAUCACCUGGCCGACAGCCCGCGUUACCUGGGCAAUGGCGAAACUCAUCCAACAAACUUUGAGCUCAGGUUUGAUAGCCUAAGAAAAAUAACUACGGUGACCAUCACACAUCCCAUUUUGCUGACAAUUUGUCUUAAUUUUCAUAGAAUGUUGUUGGGUGAAAUUGUUGCUAUUGAUUUUCCAAAACUGGCAUAAUAAUAGCAAAUAAGUACUAAACGAUUAUGGAAUGUUGCUAAAUAAUAACUUAAAAAAAAACACUCUCAGAGGCAAUUUAGCAAACAUCUUUUGCGCCAUGAUUUUAUUCCACUAAUUUUGUAAAUUUGCCCUCCCAUUACAAAUCUGAAUAAUAAUCUACUUUUGUAAAACAUGCACGUACUUGAACCCUUAACUUAAAAAAUAACUAUUUUAUGCCGCAGAAGCAAAUAAAAAAAUCUAUUUGUUUUGGCCCUAUUCACUUUUUCAUUUGUUUUGUCCACUUCCAAAUUCUAGAGAGAAACCAAAAAAAAAUUAAUAAACUUGAUGCCUUGUUCGCCAAAUUUCUCAAUUUUAAAUAAAAUGAGUGUCUUGUAUCAAGAAAAUAAUAAUAAUAAGAAAAUGAGUAUCAUGAUCAUGUGAUAAAAAGAAUGUUUAUUUUAGUUUCCAACCUAGAUCUCAUAAAGAAUUUCACAACCUCAAAUAAAUAAAUAAAUAUUAUCCGGUAAUGGUAUGACAUUUAAUUUGAAGUAAACGCCAGCCCACCAAAUUUCUCAACUGAAGAACAUGUUUUGGCCAAAAUUCAUACUUUUUUCUCCACAUGAUCUAAGAGCACGCAGAAAUCUCCUAAUCUUAACUACGGAUCUUAUUAUGUUCAUUGAAGUCUAAUAUUGUAGACUCAUUGGUGUAGCUAGAAAAUCAUAUCAUUAGAGUAAAAUUUAUAAAUAAUCAAAGAAAAAGGUUCACGCUCUUACUUCUCCACUUUCAUAAUCUUAUUAGUAAUAUCCAUUUAAAUUGAAGAGUAGUAUAUGGUUAUAGAUAUUUUUAUAUUGCUUUUUAAUAAUAGAUUUAAUUUUGAUCUUUUUAAUAUUACAUUGCAUAUUUAGACUGAAUUAGAUUAAAUUUCAAAUUAGAUCAUAGAACUUAUUUGAAUAGAUUCAAUUGGAUUUUGAACAUCUAUCAAACAACCAGACUAAUAAAUUGCAAAGGAAUGAGAUUUGCGUAUGUGAUUUUAAAAUAAAAUUGGAACUUGAAUUUAUGCAUUUAAUUAAUCCAACAAGACAAAUUUGUAAUUUCAGCUAACCAGAUAGAAUAUGCUAUCUGAAAUUUUGGACCGAGUGGGGACAGUUUAUCACGCAGUGGCGAUGCUACUACUUAUAGUCCAUUCUUAUUCAACUUUCAGAUAUUUUAUAUUAUAUGCAAAUUAAAUCAUAUUCUAAAAAGUGUUUCUAAUUGUUUAACAUUUUAUUUCUGGAUAAUUUUAAGACAUUAAAAAAAUAUGGAAAACAUAAUCAAUUUUAUCAAAUAAAAAGGAGCUUUGGUCUUUUUUUUAAUAAAAAAUGUGUUCAAAUACUCUUGGUAUUUAAGAAGUUACAAUUUCUUUUUGGUUCAUAAAAACGCAUUUUAAAAUUAUGUAAAAUGAAAUUAAAGAUUAACGAAACUGACGUUUGAAUUUCGUAUAAAUUAUGAUAAGUUUAUCUUCAGCAUUAAUGACAUUACAGCGUGGCCAGCAUCAUCAUCCUUUAUCUCCAGCAUCAAAAGUCUGAUAACAUCAACAUCAUAAUCCCUAGGUUGUCAAACUGAUCGUCUCAAAAUGUCAUUAUAGCGUGCUACCAUCAUCUUUACUUUCAGCAUCAAAAUUCUUCUAUUAAAUACUCUUUUUAUUUUUUACAAUUCUUAUCAGAUUAAAUUUUUUUUGCUAUUUGCGUUCUUUAAUUAAUUAAAAAUCUUAUCUCACCUCUCCUUUAAUAAUAGUACUAUAUGAUUAUGAUUUAAUUAUUUUUAUUUUUAAUUAAUUAAACAUCGGUCAUUUAAAUUUAACUCAAGAAAAAAAUCAAAUCACCAAAGAAUUUUAAUUCGUUCUUAUUAAGUACUACAAUAAACUUUUCCCCAUGAUAAUUUAUUAAGCAAACCAUAAUGAUCAUCUUACACUGAAGGACCAACCCAUCUUCAAAACACGAAGAAUUUAAUACGACUAAUUAUCUCAAUAAAGUUCAAUAAAAAAAGAAACAGAUAUUUUUAUUAUUUCUUUUUCUUUCUUUUAUUUUUAGUUUCUUGCCUCUUGAGCCUUUCCAAGAACCAACCGAAGUACUUAUCAAAAAAACAAAAAAAAAAACAACCAAAGUACAAGAGAAAAAACAAUAAAAUAAUUCACAGUUACAUGUAGCUUCACACAUCCCUAUACCAUAUGCGUCCAAAAUUCAUCUCCAAUAGUUGCCCAAAUGUAACCACCAGUUUGUACUUGCAUAUAUAUACGUAUAUAUAUAGGAUUCCCUCGCAUGUAGCUUAACAUUAGCUAUAUAUAUAUCUGUAUAUAUUCCCCGGUAAAAAUGUGGAGCAACCUUCAUUUUAAUGUUCUAGCCAACAUCUUCUCCUUCCUUUCUCCACACUCCUUGACACGUGUCAAAUCAGUCUGCCGCCAUUGGCACACGUGUGCCAAGCUUUACCACCUUCGCUCCGGGUCCCAACACCGGCGGCUGGCAUGGUUCUUGGCUUUGCCUACACGUAACCGUGGCCUGUGUUGCUACAUUCACAACCCAGUUGUCGACAAGCAAGUGACAAUUUGCUUCUACCAAUGACUUCAGAUCUCAAACCUAUUUCAGGCAAGGCCAGCAAUGACAUCAUGUUCAAAACAGUUUAGCCAGACACACCUGUUCAGACCCCUCUACUACAUAUAACCUAGAGGUACAUUUUUUCUUUACAUUCUUUCUAUACGAUUGGCAUUAGGCUUAUCAAGUCCAAUAAGAUAUUUCACAAAACUUAUACUAACUUAUUCCUAAUUAUAGUGGACACAAUUAACUUACUUUGGCAACUGUUCUGAAGAGAAUGACUUCUUCAGGAUGACAUCAAUUACCAGCGAUGAUACUAUCAGUAAGCUACUUCUGCUAUCUACUAAAUAUUACUGCUACACGUAAUAUUGACAAUUCGUUUGUGUGCAGGCCUGUGAUAACCACUUGGAUCGGAUAAAGGACUGGGACAUCAACAAUUUGCCCAGAAACCAAUAAGAUAUCAUUGUAAAACAAUGAUUGGCAUUAGGCUUAUCAAGUUCAAUACAAUAUUUCACAAAACUUAUACCAACUUAUUCCUGAUUAUAGUGAACACAAUUAACUUACUUUGGCAACUGUUCUGAAGAGGCUGACAUCAACUACCAGUGAUGACACUAUCAGUAAGAUGCUUCUGCUAUCUACUAAAUAUUACUUACUUUGGCAAUACUGUUCUGAAAAGGAUAACAUCAACUACUAGUGAUGACACUAUCAGUAAGCUGCUUCUGCUAUCUACUGAAUAUUAGUACUUAAUAUAGUAUUGACAAUUCUUUUGUGUGCAGGCCUGUGAUAACCAUUUAGAUCGACCGGAUAAAGGACUUGGACAUCAACAAUUUGCCCAAAAACCAAUAAGAUAUCAUUGUAAUGCUUAAUUAUAUAUGUAUUAGUUUCCCUUUGAAUGGUGCUCUAUUAUGAUGAUUCUUUCCUCUAUGACUCUUAAAUAAGCAACGUAUUGCCCUUUUGUUAUGCAAAAGUAUGGCAUGUUAAGCAGACGGGAACAACAUGUGGGCUAUGUACACCAUUACCUUAAACGAAGCAAAAUUAUCUUGUGCUUAUCAAAGUUUGAAACUAAUUCUGUGCUUACCAAGAAUGUAUGAAUAACACAUUAUACUCAUACACCAAACUUUAAUCUGAAUGAAUCAAGUAAUUCUAUGUUAAUCAAAGUUUUUAGACUUAUACGACGAGGUCAAGUUUAUAUAAAAGCAAAUAACACUGAAAUCUAAUCAUCCUUUACAAACAAAUGUGAUUUAUUCAAUUAUCGCAAACAAUAGUUUUAUCGGAGUUAAUUACAUUAUUGGUAAACUUGUAUAUGCUUUCCUGUUUCAAACAUAUCUACUUAAUUACAUUAUUCAUCGACAAUGUUACUUUGCUUGUAGAAGUUUCAUUUUUUCAUACCUUAAUCACUAUUUAACGCUUCGUUUUCCAAUAGUUCUAAUUCUUCAAAUUUUGGUUUUAUUCUUCCAUAAUUAUAAAUUGAUACUAAUUCGCACGACUCAAAUUAAAGUGGUUAAUUACUCUAAAAGUAUAAAUAUGGCAGUCAAUAAUUACAUAAAAUAAUUGCAAAAAAAAAAAAGUUGAUAAGGAAUAGUAUAAAUUUAAAAUCCGCUAAGGUUAUGAGAUCCAAGCUUGAUAUUUAAAUCAUGGCCAUAACAUUUAUAUAUAUACACUUGUUUCAAUAUAAUGUGACUUAGUUCUUAAUUAACCACUCAAUGAAGAAAAAUGAGAAUUAAGUAUAUAUUAUGCCACAACUUUAUUGGAGUGUUCCCACUACCAUAUUAGUAGUCAACAUUAGGUCUAAACUCCCACAUAAAUUAACCACUACAUGAAUAAACAAGGGGAUGAAGUACAUAAUUGCCACGGCCAUAUUGGAAUGUUUCCACUACCAUAUUCACAUGUCAAUGUUUUGUCUAAACAUUUAUAUACAUCCAAGGAAAUUUAGAUCUAUAAAUAAAUAUAAAAUAUGGAAUGAAAAUAAUUGGUAGAAAAUAUAAAUUACAAACAAUAAACUUAAAAUUCACUUGAGAAAGUAAUUAAAUCAACAAUUUGAAUCCUUGAACUUACCCAUCACCUUAGCUUAGAAAAUUAGUCACUCAUAUUAGUAAACAAAACACUCAUUUUAUUUAAUAAAUUUGUAAAAGUAUAAUACAAGAAAAUUUUAAAUAAAGAAGAGAAAAAAAAAUCUCUUCUUAUUAACAACACUUCUUCAUAAAAUUCACUCUAAAUUUAUACUAAAUUUCACUAGGAAAUUCACCUCUAAAAUUCUACACACGGAAUUAUCAAAUCUCUUGCCUUUAUAUAGGCAAAUUCUAGGUUGAUCAAGUGUGGGCAUUUACAUGAUAUUUUUGGUGAACUUGCAACCACAACCUUUAAAUGACAUUUGAUAAUACAAAUACAAUCCAAGGGGUCCAAAAUUGCAAGUAUCGUCAUGCAUUAUAAAACGGUUGAUUCAACAUAAUCAAUGGCUAUAAUGAAAUCAAAUCGGGAUCCUCCAUUGGAUUUUUUGUUUUUUAAUUCAAAGUGGUUGAACCACUAAAUUGAUAAGUAUUAGAUCUAGUGUAAAGAGGUGCAUGUAAGCUUAGACACAAGGCAUGAUACCUAGCCUUUCAGAAUUAAUAUUAAAUAAAACGGCUACCUAUUCUUCCAAAAGUUAAAAUUAUAAUUUUUACUUUUAUUUAAUUAAUUUAUACUUUCUAAUAUUAAUCAUUGAUGAACAAUUUUUUAUUUCAUCACCGUCUAGAUUGCUUUUAUCUUACACAAAUUUGUUUUAAACCUUUAAAUAGUGGAUUUCUUUAUGAUAAUGUAUGUAUUUUUACAGCAUUGAUAGUGGGAUUAAUGUGAACCAUUAGUUUUAAGUAUUUUAAUCUCAAUCGUCCAUUUAAUAUAAUGGAUAAUUAAAUAAUUAAUGAAAAUGUAGCAUGUAAUUUACAAGUUGCUGGUAAUUAUUUGUUUUUUAAUUUUAAAUUAAUAUUAAUUUGAGAAAAAGCCACACACACCUCAAUGUUUGCUCAAAUAGUCAUAUAGAUCCACUUAGUUUCGUAAAUGGUAAUAAAGACCCCUUAAUUUUCAUAAAUGACUAUUAUACGUUUUGAUUUAAACAACCUAAAUAAAUAUACAUAUAGUAGUAGGAUAAAAAUAAUAAUAAAUAUCAUAUGAUACAAAUAAAAUAUUAAAAUAAGUAUAAUUAAUAAAAAUAACUUGUAUAAUGAAUUUUUUUAAUAUUAAGUUAUUAUUAAUCUAUCCCGAUGGAUUUAUUAAAAUCUACUAAUCCAAAAAUUGACUUUAAGAUAGAUAUUAAUACAGAUAUAAUUAGAAAAGAUAUUGUAAAUAAAACACUAUAAAUUAUUAUAAAUUGUUGUGAGUGUUAGGUAUAACUAUUUCAAUAUUCUAUAUCACACAUCAUACUUAAGAUGUUGAUUUUGUUGAAGUGUUAUGUUAUUAAACAUUAAGCUUUGCAUUUAUAAUGUGCCACAACUUUAAUGUAAAAUUUAAUAAAAAAUAUAAAGACAUUUUUUAGUAGUCAAUUGUAUUGUAAUAUGAUCAAAUUACGACAGAAUUAUCAUAUUUUCACUAUUGAAUAUGCAUAUUAUUCUUAUUGAAUACAAAGGUGCAUCGUUACGAGUAGCACAAUUUCAUCAUCAUCAUCAUCUUGCAUCCAUUUAAAAAAAAAAAUGGAAAUAUAGACCUUAAAUAAGCUAAUGGAGGAAGACCAACAGUCCUGAAAAGUUGUUCCAUAAAUUUAAGCCUACGAUAAUACUUAUUUCUAAACUGACACUUCAAGUAACUUAGGGCAUGUUCAGUAUCAUUUUGUAGCCCUUAUUUUCAUUUUUAUUUUAAUAGUACAAGUGUAAUAUAUGUUUGGCGAGCCUAAAUCUUAAAUCAAAUUAUAAAAUGUGUUAAACAUAAUCUAUUUGACAAUAAUAAAAGUUAAAAUAUGUUAAACACGUUUUUUGUAAAUUAUAAAAAAAAUUAUAAAAUAAUAUACUACACAUCCUCCAAAGCAUAGCAAAUAAAAUAUAUUUUACAAACACUACUAUAGAAAGACAUAUAAGACCUAUUUAAGUUAGUAGAGGUGAUUUUUCUUUUAGUCAUUAAGACAUAUGAAUUAAUAUGCACACACACACACACACACAUAUUGAGUACUUCUAUCUACCCCUAUUUACUAAUGGAAGGGAAAUUAAAAUCGUAAUUACCCUGAUAUAUUAUGAAUUGAUAUGUCACAUAUAAAUAUCAUUGAAAAUUAAUUUUAGAUUAAUGAAGUAAACCAUAUAUAGGCAUUUAAUUAAUCUAAGGUCAAAUGAAAUAUAUCACAUGACAUUUCAUGUAGUAGUCCAAUUUUUAACACUUGCAUAUAGUUUUGUAAGCUAAUAAGCCAAUGAAAUAUACCACAUGAGAAAUUAAAGGGCUAUUAUUUAUAUUUCACUAUUGGGCAAAUAUGGAUCUUCCAAUUCUCUUCUAUGGCCAUAAAUUAGAAUAAAAAAAUCACAUAGUAGAGACUACAUCUGUUUGCAUGCUCUCAAAAUAGAUUUUGAAAUUAGUUUUGAAUGCUUUCAAAAUAAAUUUUGAAAUUAGUUUGGUUACAUGAUAAUCAAAUUAUCUUAUAACAUUAAUGAUAUAAUUUAAGCACUAUUUUAACAUUUGUGAGUUUUACAUUAAAUCUUCAAAUUAAUUACAUAUUGUCACUCUUUCUUGUUUUGCUUGAAAUUCCUAUUUAAUAAAAUUACGAAAAGUUGAUAAUGAAUGGUUUAAGAUACAUAGGUAAGAUAAACUUUAAAAGUCUAAUGAAACAUUCCUAUGAAUGUUAGUUUCGUAUGCAUGUUCAUAUAUUUCAUUGAAAUCAUAUAUUCUAUUGAAUUUUGUGUUAUUAAAUGAAAUAUGUUAUUCAAGUGAAAAAUGUGAGAAUAUUUAAAACUGUAGGGAUGGUCAUUGAAAUUUCUCAUAUUUCUACCAACUCCACAAUCCAAUAGUUCAUCCCUUUGUUAACCGGUUAUGUUAUUUUAAAAAUAAUUAAUAAAUUUUAUUAAUAAAUAUAAUGUAUACUGUUAAUUAAAUCAAAUAAUUAAUAUUACUUACACUAUUGAUGCCGUAAACAUAGAGGUACCUUUAAAUAGUUUCUAACCAUUAUAUAAUUUUAUCUAUCCUUAUUUUUACCUCUUCUUAACUGACUUCACCAAUAUAUUUUUAAAAGAAACGUGGCCAUCUGUUACCCGUUGGAUCACCUGCUUUUAAAUCAAAUAAUUACAUGAGAUAAAGACAAAACGCACACUAUAGUGUUACAGUUACAACAUAGAUAUGGCUGUAGAGGCGCAAAAAAAAAAUCUAUUUGUUUAGUCACUGUACCCUUUUUCAUUCAUUUCGUCCACUUCCAAAUCCUCGAGAGAAACAAGACAAAUAAAAAUGAUUUUAAGAAAUUUCGUCCACUUCCAACUUUAAAUAAAAUAAAUAAAUAAUAUCUGGUAAUGAUAUGACAAUUACAUAAGAGAAAACACUGCCUACCAAUUUUCUUCUCAGGCAGCGCCUAUGUCACAUUCGAGUCAAUUAAAAUCGUAUUAAAACUCUUUUUUUAAUUAUAUUUUAUAUAAUAUUAAAAAUAUUCUUUUUUAAAUAAAUAUUUUUUUUAUUUAUGAUUUUUUUUAAUUUUUAAUAGUUUUCUCACUCUUUUAGUCUUAAUAUUUAUAUUCUUCUCUUUAAAUUUUUUUACUAUUUAAUUUCUAAAGAAAAAAAUCUAAAAAAAAUGAGAAAAACUUUAUACUUAGAAAAUAAUGAAUAUUUUAUGGGUUUAAUAUAAUUUUAUCCUACCUAUAAAUUUUGGGUUCAUUGAGUUUAGCAAUUAGUUUGAGAAUCCUUAAAAAAUUAGUUGUAAAGGGAUAAAAUUUUAUUUAAUUUAUUUUUUCCUACGUUGUAUCUUAAUUAAGUUGUUAUAUUUAUUAUAAAAAUUUUGUUUUGGCUUAGAGGAUUACUUCUUAAAUUCAAAUUAUUUUAGUGAUAACAAAAAAAUUUAUAUUGUGCAAGUAAAAUAAAAUUCAAAAGAGAAAGAAAAUAUAAAUAAUUUAUAUUUAUUCUUAAAUAUAAUUGUAAUAUAAUAAAAUUUUUAUGAAAUUAAUGAAGGAAUUCAUUUUAUUUUUUGUAAUAAACUAUUUUUUUAAAAGAAGAAAUGCUUUUAUUAAACCAAUUGGGUGAUUACAUUUAUGAUUUAUGGGGGAAAAGAUUCCCUCCAGACACAAUCAUCACUGCAUGCUAAUGCUAUAUUGGCUAUAGCAUGUGCACUUGCAUUACAUUCCCUUGGGAUGUGCUGGAUUACUGUGCCGGAUUACAAUCAUACUGUCUCCUCUUACGCAGCACCAAAUCAACCACCUCUUUUUUAAUCCGAUUCGACAGUCAAAGGGUCCAUCCUGCAUCUUUGGCCACCUCGAUUCCCAUGUUAAUAGUGAAACAAACAAUUUGUAAAAGUAUAAUACAAGAAAAUUAGCCAUUUUGGCUUAGAAAAUUAGCCACUUUGACUUCACUCAUCACCUUGGCUUAGAAAAUUAGCCAUUCAUAUUAGUAAAUAAAACAUUCAUUUUAUUUAAUAAAUUUGUAAAAAUAUAAUAUAAGAAAAUUUAAAAUAAAGAAGAAGAGAAAAAAAAAAAAAGAAAUCUCUUCUUAUUAACUACACUUCUCCAUAAAAUUCACUCUAGAUUUACUCUAAAAUUUUCUAGGAAACUCACCUCUAAAAUUCUACACAUCGAAUCAUCAAAUCUCUUGCCUCUAUAUAGGCAAAUUCUAGGUUGAUCAAAUGUGGGCAUUUACAUGAUAUUUUUGGUGAACUUGCAACCACAACCUUUAAAUGGCCUUUGAUAAUACAAAUACAAUCCGAGGGUCUAAAAUUGCAAGUAUUGUCAUGCAUUAUAAAAUAGUUGAUUCAACAUAAUGAAUGACUACAAUGAAGUCAAAUCGGGAUCCUUCAUUGAAUUUUUUUUUUAAUUCAAGGUGAUUAAACCACUAAAUUGCUAAGUAUUAAAUUUAGUGUAAAGAGGUGCAUGUGAGCUUAGACUCACGGCACGAUGAAACAGCUACCAAUUCUUCCAAACGUUAAAAUUAUAAUUUUUACACUAAUGGUAACCAUUGAUGAAUAAUUUUGUAUUUCAUCGCCGUCUAGAUUGCAUUUAUCUUACACAAAUAUGUCUUAAACCUUUAAAUAGAUUCUAACCACUAUAUAAUUUUUUCUGUCCUUAAUUUUAAUAGAAACGUGGCCAUCUAUUGCUCGUUGGAUCACUUACUUUUAAAUUCAAUAAUUACAUGAGAUAAAAGAUAAAACGCGUGCUAUAGUGUCACCGUUACAACAUAGACGUGGCCGUGGAGGCACAGAAAAAUCGAUUUGCUUUGUCACUGUACGCUUUGUCAUUUAUUUUGUCCACUUCCACAUCCUCGAGAGAAACAACACAAAUAAAAAAGAUUUUAAAAAAUUUUGAUGCCUUGUUCGCCGAAUCUCUCCACUUUUAAAUAAAUUGAUUGUCGUGAUCCUGAAUUGAUCAUGUGAUGCUGAGCGCAUCUCAUGAAGAAUUUAUAAACCUCAAAUAAAUAAAUAAAUAAUAUCUGACAAUGGCAUGGCACUUACUCUGGAGUAAACACGGCCCACUAAGUUUCUCAGGCAGCGCCUAUAUUACAUUUUCUGUAACAAACAAUUGAAGAAUAUGUUUUGGCCCACAUUCAUAAGUUUCUCCAUAUGUUUUAAAACCAACCCCCUCCUGGCCUCCUUUAUGGACUCCACUUUUAAGAAGUGUGUUACCCACCAUCACCAAGUAAACAAAAAAAAACCUCUUUCCCCUUCUGCUUUCAUUCUCAAUCUCUUUGUCACUUUGUUUUUCCUUUUCUCUAUAUAUGAUAUUUAAUAACUAUUAAAUGCUUGUUUCGAAGGGUUUCCUUUUCUCUAUAUAUGAUAUUUAAUAACUAUUAACCCAGUUUUCACCUACAUCCAUAGUCACAUUUCAAUUAACACCUUACAUAUUUAAUAUUAUUUUUAUUCUAUUUUACACCUGUAUCAUAAUACCCCUCUUUAUUAUUCUGAAAUUGAAUAAUAGUCAUGUUUAAUUUAGAACCUUACACUCUUUUUUUAAAAAAAAAAUUAUUAGGAUAUUUUUUAAAUAUACUAUCAAAUUUCAUGUAACACUUUACACUCUUUUUAUUAUAAAUUUUUUAAUAAAUAUUAUCUAUAGUACUUUUUACUUACAUGUAUAACGAAUUAUGUAAUCCCAAUAGUUCAAAAAGUAUUAUAAUUUUUAUUACUCUUAUUUUUAUCAUGUUAUUUAUUUUAAGUAUUCUUAUUUUAUGGGUGCAUUCGGUACGUCAUUAUUUGUUGUAUUAAGUUAUAUUGCGUUAUUUUCUAUUACAUUAGGCUGUUUUAAACUAUAAUUUAGUAUAAAAAAAAUUAUCUUUCAUGUAUAGGAAUAAAAAUUUUUAAUAAUAUAAUGUCAGUCCAUGCUACAUAAAAUUAAUUCAAUACCUAUUUGGAUACGAUGAAUUAUUAUUUACAACAGCGAAUCAAAGGGUUAAAUAACAAUGAUAAAAAUAAAAGUAUGAAAAAUUAUAAUAUUUUUAUAAUGGAACUAUUUGAAUUGCAUAAUUUAUUGUGAAUCUUAGAAAACAGUAUCGUAAUAUUUAUAAAAAAACUUAAAAUAAAAAGAGUAUCAAGUGUUAAAUGAAAUUUGAUAGUGAAUGUAAAAAAAACCUAAUAUUUUAAAAAAAUAUAAUUAAAAAGGAGUGUAAGUUUUUAAAUUAAACAUGCUAAUUAUUCAAUUUCAAAAUAGUAAAGAGGUCCAUAAAAAAAAAAAGUUAAAGACAGGCAUUGUGAUAUAAGUGAAUAUUAGAUAAAAAAUUUAUAAAUAUGAUAUAGUAUAAGGUGCUAACAAAAAUGUACCUAUAGAUGUAGGUGGAAAUUAGUUUAAUACUUAUGAAACAAAUGUUAAAUAAAAAUAAAUGGAGGGUUUGUAUAGAUAUUUCUCAAAAAGACAAAAGAAGUGGUAUGACACCACUAGGGCAACGUAGCUGGACUCCAUUUAGAAUAGUUUAUUUGAUGAUUAUAAAUAUUUCUUUGAUUUUAUAAAUUGUUUUUAAAUUUUUUAUUUAUUUAGUUAUUUUUAAUAAAAUUUUAAAAAAUUAAAUAAAUUAUUUUACCUCUAUUAAUAAAAAUUUAAAUUUUAAAUUUUUUAAAAUAAAGAUUCAAAAUUUUUUAAGAUAUUAAAAUUUUUAAAAUAUAUUUUAGAUACUUAACAAUCUUAUUUUAUUUUUAUUAAAUAAUUUUAAAAAUUUUAUUUAAUAAAAUAAUUUUAUAAUUUUUAAUAAAAGUCUCAUUAAAAAUUAAAAAAUUAAUUUAUAAAAAUUUUAGGGUCUGCUUAAGUUACGUUUAAUGUAACUUACGGCUUGGCCCUAAAAUUUUAUUCAGCCCCCUAUACUCUAUGUUAUUUAUAAUUUAUUUGUGAAUAUUAUAAAAUUUUUUAGAUUAUAAAAUUUCGUCUAACCCCUUACACUCAAUUUUAUUUUAUUGAAAUCUUAGAAUACGAAUUUGCCCCCUAUAAUUUUAAAUUUCUAAAAUAACCUCCAUUUAAUUAAAAAAUAUAAUUAUUAUUAAAUGAAUUAUAAUUAUAAUUAUUAUUUUAUUAUAAUAAUAAAUAUAAUUAUAUUUUUUAACAAUAUAAAGAGAAGAUUGAUGGAGAACUUUAAACAAUUUGACGUAUUCACAUUAUUUAUAUGUAUAUGCGAGUUAGACAUUAUUUAUUUAUUACAUUCUUUUUGUGAAUUAUAAAUCAUAAGGAAACGAUUUUGAGGGAGCAAUUAGAGUCACAAAUCCCUACUAUUUCUUUUAUGUAAUAGAAUUCGUGGAGCCAAUUAACGGUUGCAAAAAAAGCCCCAUGAUGCUAAGAGUUUCAGUGAGUGUAUUUAUAGUAACUCCCCUAAUGACUUACUUUUUAAUUGUUAUGCAACAAUAUCAAUAUUUUUGUGAAUGAAGCUCACACCAAUUUCCAUUGCCACUUUUGGUGUUGUCUAAACAUUUUGGCAUGGCACCAUUAAUAGAACAUCCAAGCAAAAAAAUACCAAAAGUUCUGUGAUUAAGAGAAAAUUAAUUGCAAUUAAUGGAAGUUAUUGGAGAAAGUGGUGCAUUAUUGGAGAACUUUAAACAAAUUAAUCGCAUAAUGUGAAUAUGUCAAAUCAUUAAUUUUUAAAUGGAUGGUUAUAUAUUUUUUUAAAUAUAAUCUUUUAUUUAAAAAAUAUAAUUAUAUUUAUGAUUAUAAUAAAAUAAUAAUUAUAAUUAUGAUUUAUUUAAUAAUUAUUAUAUUUUUAAUUAAAUAGAAUUUAUUUUAAAAAUUUAAAAUUAUAGGAGGUGAAUUUAUAUUUCAAAAUUUCAAUAAAAUAAAAUUAAAUGUAAAGAGUUAAAUAAAAUUUUAUAAUUUAAAAAUUUUUAUAAUAUUUAUGAAUAAAUUAUAAAUAAUAUAAAAUAUAGGGACUGAAUAAAAUUUUAGGACCUAACGAAUAAGUUACGUUAAACAUAACUUAAGUGGACUAAAAUUUUAUUAAUAAAAAACUUUUUUAAAUAAAUUUUAUUUUAAAAAUUAUACUAUAAGACAAAAACCCUGCACUUACCAACCCGUACUGAUUAAAACCCCUCACCAACGCGUCUGCUCUCACCAUCAAUGCUGUCAGUGAAUAAGCACAUCACACCUUAAUAAUGACAGCUGGGUGUUAUCAUUUCGGUCAAAAAGGUAGACCCCCAAAAACAAUGAUAAUAAUUAACAGUCAUAAAUAAAAAAUAAUAUUGGGUAUGUUACCAUUUUGGUCAAAAAGAUGAUUUCGCCAAAAAGAUAAUUUUGGAUCUGUAAUACGAUUUUCGCCAAAAAGAUAAUUUUGCCGCUAAUUAUUUGGGUAGUCAGAUAAUAAUAACAAAACAUGUUAUCUUUCGCCUAUAACUUGAGGAGAUAAUAAGAGUUUUUCAUUAUACUCUACUGUUAGUUUCUCUUCUUCGUUUUUUUUUCUCCCUUUUGAAGUCUUUCAACAAAAAUGGGUGGCAUCAUCUCAACCUUCUUCUCAGCGGACACAAUCCGUCCAAUUUUAUUUUACGUUGGUGGACAAGCAAAGUAUAUAUGGGGUCUUAAAGGCAAUCUCGAUGACUUGCAGACUCAAAAGGAGAACUUGAUUGCGAAAAAACAAGAUCUGCUGAAUAAGGUUAAGCUUGCCGAGCAAAAACCCCGAAUCAGACGGACAACGACGGUGGAACUUUGGUUUAAAAGGGUGGAUGAAAUGGAAACUGAAGUUGAGAAUCUGCAAAAAGAAAGAGGUCAAGAGAUUGACAGAUUGUGUCUUGGAGGCUUCUGUUCCACGGACUUGAUUUCAAGCUACGACUUCGGCAAAAAGGUGGAGAACUUGAGAGAAAAAGUGAUCGAACUGAAGAAAGAGGGGGAAGCAAUGAAAGAAGUUUAUGAGGGGGUACCAGAAGGUGCAGCGGUUGAAAAAGCUGUUGACCGAACAAUCGUUGGUCAAGAAUCCAUACUUGACCGAGUGUGGAAAUGCAUCACAGAUCAAGAAAAGAAUAAGGGAAUUAUUGGCUUAUAUGGUAUGGGGGGCAUCGGCAAAACUACUCUGUUAUCACAAGUCAAUAACAAAUUCUGCAGUGAGGAGCAUGAUUUUGAUGUCGUUAUCUGGUCGGUUGUAUCUAGAGAGCCAAACAUGAAGCAGAUUCAAGAGGAUAUUGGGAAAAGGAUAGGCUUCUCAACAGAUUCAUGGCAGGGAAAAAGUUUUGAAGAAAGGGCUUCAGACAUCACCAACUCCUUAAAGCAUAAGAAGUUUGUAUUGUUAUUGGAUGAUAUAUGGGAGUCCGAAAUUGAUUUAACCAAAUUGGGCGUCCCUCUUCAGACACUAGAUUCUGGGUCCAGAAUAGUCUUCACAACUCGUUUUGAGGGUACUUGUGGUAAAAUGGGAGCCCAUAAGAAUCGGUACAAAGUGUUUUGUUUGGGAGAUGACGAUGCCUGGAAAUUAUUUGAGGGGGUGGUCGGGAGAUACGUUCUUAACAAGCAUCCCGACAUUCCGAAGUUAGCCGAGGAUGUGGCACGUCAGUGUCAUGGUUUGCCGCUAGCACUCAAAACAGUAGGUAAUGCCAUGGCCAGCAAAGUGUACCCUGAAGAAUGGAAAGAAGCAAUUGAGAUCCUAAGCGCAUCAGCUUCUAAAUUCGAAGAUAUGGAGAAAAAAGUGCUUUCGAGCUUAAAGUUCAGCUAUGAUAGUUUGCCGAAAGAUGAACUUCGAUCUUGUCUCCUGUACUGUUGCUUAUUUCCCGAAGACUCUGAAAUUCUAAAAACCGAGUUGAUAGAGUAUUGGAAAAGUGAAGGAUUUGUGGAUUCUAGCAGCGGGUGGGGGGUUCUUGGUGCUCUCGCUCGUGCAUGCUUAUUGGAGGAAGGAGGUGAUGAUGUAAAAAUGCACGAUAUGAUCCGUGACAUGGCAUUAUGGAUAGCAAAUGAAAUAGAGGAGGAGAAGUUUUUGGUUCGUGCAGGAGUUGGAUUAACUGACGCCCCAAAGAUUGAAGAAUGGGAAGGGGUCAAAAGGAUAUCCUUGACGGAGAACAAAAUUCAAAGUCUACCACAAAUUCCCAAUUGUCCGCGUCUCCAGACUUUGCUUCUAGCGGAUAAUCAUAUUAAGGAGAUCACUGAGAGUUUCUUUCAAUCUUUACCUUCGCUUAGAGUUUUAAAUCUAAGUGAGAAUGAUUCCCUGACUCAACUUCCUGUGGGGAUUUCAAGUCUGGUUUCAUUACACCAUCUUGAUCUGUCUUUUACUGGAGUACGUGGGUUGCCGCAAGAGCUCAAGGCAUUGGUGAAUCUGAGAUAUUUGAACUUGGAUUGUACAUAUGAAAUGUGUAAAAUUCCACAGCAAUUGAUAUCCAGCUUUUCGAAGUUACAGGUACUCAGGAUGCUGCAUUGCGGUUCUGCUCACCGGCCAAUAGUGGAAGAAGGCAACGUUCUAUCCGAUGAUGCUGAAUCAUUGAUGAAGGAAAUCCACUGUUUGGAACAUUUAAAUCUCAUCACCUUGUCCUUACAUGGUUCGCGUGGUGUUGAAAACUUUCUGAAAUUCCCAAAGCUGCAGAAUAUCACUCGAGCUCUGACCAUCGAAGACUGCAACAGUCUACCGCUCAAUUUGUUGCAUCUAGCAAACAUGGAGCAUCUAGAGCAGUUAUUUAUCUGGGAAAGUAAUUUGGAAGACUGGAAUGUCGACUUCGCGGGAGAGGUACAAAAAAUGCGUAAACUUCACUCGGUUCUCAUACGGAAUUGCUCAAAUGUGAAGGACUUGACGUGGCUUGUUUUUGUUCCAAAUCUCAAGUGGCUGCGAAUAGUUGGUUGUGAUGACAUGGAAGAAAUAAUCAGUGUUGAAAAAUUUGAAAAAUUGAGUGAAGUUUCAGAGAUGAUGGGAGAGCUUAACUUGUUCUCAGAACUCGAACUUCUGGUAAUAAGAAAAGCAAGUAAUUUGGAGCGCAUCUACCGCGAUCCCUUGCCCUUUCCACAGCUGAACCGAAUUAGCAUAUUGAAAUGCCCAAAGUUGAAGAAGCUCCCACUCAAUUCCAGCAGCGCAAAGGGACGUAAAAUUGCCCUUGCGGGACAGAAAGAAUGGUGGGAAGAGCUACAAUGGGAGGAUCAAGCCACUCAAAAUGCUCUCUCUCCCUGUUUCCGACCUAUUGAAGAAUAAAGUGCGAUAAGGCACAAAAGUGUGAAUAAAGUUUCUGCGUGUGCUUAAUGAUUAUCUUGUCUAUCUAUUUCAUUUAAUUUAAAAGCUUUCAACGGUGUUGCGUGUGUGUCACUUGUCAUUCUUCUGUACUGCUGUUUCCUAUUUCCAGUUAAUAAAACUUUUUCCUAUUAAUAUAUUCUAUUUACUUUCCUA
Molecule: long non-coding RNA, 82476 nt
Filed under: Citrus maxima (pomelo)
Lineage: Eukaryota; Viridiplantae; Streptophyta; Magnoliopsida; Sapindales; Rutaceae
Description: long non-coding RNA (CMAX_LNC000216)
Source: RNAcentral